GGGAGCAGUGGCUCCAGGUUGUACUAAUGUAGGAAGGAAAUAGCCAGCAAAGAAGUUGGAGGUCACAUAGGUAUAGGGAAUUCCUUCAGCCUCAAUAGCUCGGCGGAUUUGAACUUUGAUAGCAAACACUGAUUUUGCUGGCUCAACAGCAUGGAGACGGUCCACAUCAUUUCCAAACUCUGAUGGGAGGAAUCUCUGGAUAAAGUAAAGCAUUAUGAGAAGAAACCAUGUCAUUCAAUGUAUGAAAAUUAAUCCCCAGUAGUCCAUUUAGUCAUAUUAGUUCUCAUACAGACAUCAUAUAUAUAUAUUUGAUCCACACACUUGCUAUCAGUUUUAGUUUGAAUGAUGGAAGGAAUAAGAGAUCCUAUCAAGAUAUAUACCUGUAAGAAAAAGAAAAGAGAGACAAAAAGGAAGAAAAAAAGGAAACGGUAGGAGGAAGAAGAACCAAGUAUUCUGAUGAUAAAUUGGGAAAAAAACUCCUGAUACUAUACAUGUUGUAGGUUUUGUUUUGAAUUGGGAGAUCCAUUGGACCCAAAAUGAACAAUAACUGUGUGGGAGGGAGAAUGGUGUUCCGAUCCCCUGCAAAUAAUAUCUACAUGGGAGGGAGAAUGGUAUUCGGAUCCCCGUCCGUCGGACUUUGUCUACCCUCCCAAAUCGGAAGUUAUUUGCACUGUAUAUGUAGUGAUACUGGGAUAAUGAGCUCUCUUAAGUAUGUAGAGGCAGGUUUAAACUUUUCCUUUUUAUGUUGACUUCGUAGAUCAGAAAAACGCUCAACAUCCCUAACCUAGAAGAAGAUUUUAUUGUAUUAUAGGAUAAAAAUAUUUCAGAGACAUUGACAGUAAUUACAAAAUUCCGUAAGAUUUGCCAAGAAAAGCGAAAAUAGAAAUAAAUAUCAUCAAUUUGAGCAGCUUUACCUUGACAUUUCCAGCUUCUUUGAUUGCAGCUAUGAUCUUCGCUUGAUCCUGCAACUGCCCGCCACCAACGGUGGAUAUCACCACAUCUACUUCCUUGAUCGCCUUUACCAAACUCUGGUGAUCGUUUAGAUCUCCCUGUACCAAACAAUAAUUAAGGAAUCAAACAGUUAUACAAACCUAAAGCUAAGAAGAACAAAUUAAUAUGUAAAACUCAAAGCUAGGUGAGUUUUUCACAUUAUUGAAAUCAAAACAACCUAAAACAUAAGAUCCAAACUCCUCUUCUCCUGUCUUUUCUUUCUUUGAAUUUUCUCAUCAACCAAGCGGACCAUCGUAAUUCCGAUGAUCCCAACCCUUUUAGCCGAGUUACGUUUAUGAUUUUUCGUUUUCUUAGUAACUCAAAGAUCCGAAAACCGAAAACGCCACGACUAGAAAUUUCCUUCAUUUUCUAGGCAACCAAAAGGAGCCGAAAUUGGAAAAACAAAGAAUGACGAGGCAUGAGAGAGGAUUGUACACACAUGGACCAAAGUGACGCCGGAGCUCUUGAAACUCUUGAUGAUUUGGGACUUCGUAGGAUCUGAAAGGGUGGUGUCUCUGACGAGAGCGAAGGUAGGGUGACCGGACUUGGCGCUGGCGGCGACAAUGAAUUUUCCUAUGUAUCCGGUGCCGCCGAUGAUGAGGAUCUUGUCGGCCAUUCUAAACUUCCACGUUAAUCGCCGGCGAGAAUUGUGGAAUUGCAGAGACGACUAAGAGGUCGAUGGUGCGAAAACGAAUGAGCACUAACGCCAGGGACUCUUUCAUGCGCACUCCUUAUAUACAGGAAUAUGCAAGACGCGUAAUUACAGAAGUAACCUCAUUGGGUGAAAAUCUCCGUUGUGGUUAUUACGUCAUUUUUUCUAAAUUUUAACAUUCUAUUAGGUCAUAUUUCUCGCGAAAACGAAUGAGCACUAAUGGCCAGGACUCUUUCUUGCGCACUCCUUUUAUAGAGGAAUAUGCGAGACGUGUAAUUACAGAAGUAACCUCAUCCUUGAGUGGAAAUCUCCGUUGUGGUUACUACGUGAUUUUUUCUAAAUUUUAACAUUGUAUUAGGUCACAUUUCUCUUAGAUGGCGUGAAAACGGAGUUUUGGGUCAAAAUGGUACAUUUUAAAAAAAAUUUGUAACAUCUAACCGCUUUUUGAAACUAUGUUCAAUUUAGCCUUUUUGGUGACACGUAGGCACCAUGCCAUUAAAAAUAUAUUUUUUUGGUUAUUUUAAUUAAAAUCGUAGUUCGUAACUGCGACUUUAUUUUUGAAUUAAAACUAUAGUUGUCAACUGAGGCUUUAGUUUUUUUUUUUUUAAAUUUAAAAUUUAAUAAAAAAUUAUUAAAUUAUAAUUUAUGAUUGAAAUUUAAAAAUAUACUUAAAUAUUAAAUUAUUUAUAUUUAUAUUUAAAAAUCUAGUAUUACUUCAAUAAACAUAAAUUGAUAAAUAUAAGAUAUUAUAAAUGAAUAUUUUAUUUAUUAAUAAUCUUAAAAUAAUAAAUUUAUAUAACAUAUAAAUAAUAUAUAAAAUUGUAUAAUUUAUUAAUUUAAGAUAUUUAAUUUGUUGUUUUUUAAGAUAUUAAUUUAUUUGUAUUAUGAUAAAUUUAUCUUUAUCGAAAUAAUAGUAUACUUUUAAGCUGCAAUUGAUAACUGAGAUUUUAAUCAUAAUUUUCUUUUUAUGUGAAAAAAAUUAUAAUUGAAAUUUCAAUUAUCAACUACGACUUAAAAGUAUACUAUUAUUUCGAUAAAGAUAAAUUUAUCAUAAUACAAAUAAAUUAAUAUCUUAAAAAACAACAAAUUAAAUAUCUUAAAUUAAUAAAUUAUACAAUUUUAUAUAUUAUUUAUAUGUUAUAUAAAUUUAUUAUUUUAAGAUUAUUAAUAAAUAAAAUAUUCAUUUAUAAUAUCUUAUAUUUAUCAAUUUAUGUUUGUUGAAGUAAUACUAGAUUUUUAAAUUUAAAUAUAAAUAAUUUAAUAUUUAAGUAUAUUUUUAAAUUUCAAUUAUAAAUUAUAAUUUAAUAAUUUUUUAUUAAAUUUUAAAUUUUUUUAAAAAAAUAACAAAAGUCUCAGUUGGCAAUUGCCGCAGUUGUAAAAAAUGAAGCCGCAAUUGGCAACUGCUGCUUUAAUUAAAAUGACGAAAAAAAAUAUUUUUUUUUAAUGAUAUGACGUCUAUGUGGCAUCAAAGAGGCCAAUUUGAACAAAGUUUUAAAAAGUGGUUAGAUGUUACAAUUUUUUUUUUAAAAGGGUCAUUUUGACCCAAAACUCGUGAAAACGCAUAAGUACUAACGAUCAAGUACUUUUUCUUGCGCACUCUUUAUGUACAGGAAUAUGAAAGAUGUGUAAUUAUAGAAGUAACUUCAUCUUUGUGUGAAAAUAAUAAAUUUUUAGAGUAAUUAUUAAAAAAAUAUAUAUAAGAUAAAAAAGUUUUUCAAACGUUAUGGUAGAAAAUAGUUUUAAAAGAUAUAUUAGUCUCUUCAUAUUUUAUAUCCUCCCCAUCAAUUAUGUAAUUUUUAUGAGCCAAAUCUUAAUUUUUGGGUCCAACUUAGUCCAAAAUACAAUUAUCCUAUUUUUUUUUCUUCUAAAUUUUAGCAUUCUAUUAGGUCACAUUUGUGUCUUUUGUUUUUUUUUUGUCUUAAAUUUAAAUAGAUCUUAAAUUAAUUUAAAUCUAAAUAGUAUUUAAUCGUAUUAUAUAUUAAAUUAUUUUUAAUUUUUUUUUAAUAUUAAAAAGUAACUUUUUUUAGGACUUAAGCGAUUCUUAAAUUAUUAAUUUUUAAAAUAGUUUUAUCUUAAUAAAAAAGUAAAUUUUGUUUAUUUUUAUAUAAACCCUUAAAACAAUUUGUUUCAAAAAUUAAGAACAUUGAGCCGUUGGUGUCCAGAAGAAGGGAGGGAGGUACCAAACAGCGUAAGUGGUAACUCACCUUCCAAAAGAGUUUUUGUCCUCUUUUUUUAUUCUCUCUCUAUUUUUUUGGGCUUUAAUUUCUGAAGUUAAAAGAAAGAUUUAUGGCUGAAGGGUUGGGUUUCUAAGUGCACUCAAUCACUCAUAUUUCUUCUGUAAUGAUUCUCAUACUUUCUCGCAUUUCAUUUGACAUCAGGGUAUUCCUCUGAAGCCUCCACUCCAAAUGAUGGUUCGAUCUCAAAGUCGGUGUGGUCUCCCUUCACAAAAACAGAGUGAUUGAUUGCCAAUAUCACAUUCACUGGAAAUUGGGCUUUAGUUUCCAAUCCAUCAUAAGUUGCCAAAUAAUAAAGGGAGACCAUACCAACUUUACCUUGAAAAUAAAUACAAAAUUCCAUGACUCUGUUUUUGUUUUGCAGUUGUGAAUUGACAGUGUGUCAUGUGAAGCUCUUGCAGAGUGAUUAAUGCUUCCUUUGUGCAUUCUAGCGGCCAUGUCAAGUUGCUUAGCCUGUCAACUAUUGUAAUGAUAAUGGUUGCUUCCUUUGUAAGUUGUCCAAGUGUUGCAUGAGUGCUUAGGAAACACCAAAGUCUUGAAUGUCCAAAAGUAGAAAAUGCAACAGGGAAGUUAUCUCUUUAUGAUUUUUUGACAGUUUGAUUACCUUUUGGAUUCCCAUCUCCUAGGAUAAUAACUUUAUCUCUUGGGGAAGCAGUGGCUCCAAACUGUGACAAGGUAGGAAGGAAAUAGCCAGCAAAUAAGUUGUUGCACACACAGGUGUAGGGAAUUCCUUCAGCCUCAAUAGUGCGGCGGAGUUUAGCCUUUAUCUCAAAUGCUGUUUUUUUUUGCAGGAUCAACAGCAUCGAUACGAUCAACAUCAUCUCCAAACUCUGAUGGGAAGAAUCUCUGGACAAAAUAAAGCACUUUGAGAAAAAGCCGCUUAACUCGAUGGACAAAGAACCGAUUUUAUCUAUUUCGUCGUAUUAGUUCACAGACAGAGUGGUAUACACUUUGACAAGUUGAUACAAGUGUUCAACAACACAUUUUUAUUUUUAUUUUUUUUAUGAAUAAAUAGUAGUAUAUUAAUAAAAAGAAAAAAAGCACAUAAAAGAAGCACCCCAAAGAACACAAGUGAUAUACAAAAGAGGUUAAAAAACCCCUUAAAUAGAGUCUAACCAAUCUACAAAAUCCACACAGGAAGGGGGGUUAGAGUCUAAAAAACCCUUGGCUCACGCCCAUAGGUUACAAAGGAAAAAAAAUUUACAUCCUUGAACCAAAUGACCCUCAUUUUCAAAGACCCUAUCGUUUCUUUUCUUCCAAACUAUCCAAAAAAUACAUAAAGGAACUAAAAACCACACUUUCUUCCUCUUCUUUCCCACACAAAACCCAAACCACCCCAAUAACGCCUCUUUAACUGAAUAUGGGAGAACCCACAAUACCCCAAAAAAGGAAAAACAAUAAGUUCCAUAAACUUCUUGCCAGCUCACAAUGCAAAACCUUUUUUCGAUCCAAGGUUAAGAGCUUUUUUCAUGUAGCCUCUCAAGCAAAAAAAACUCACCCUCAAAGGCACCAUAGAGUUCCAAAGCCUUAUAGAGAGAUUUGACAGAAAAUCUACUGUCCUUUGACUUUGUCCAAACUACUUGAUCUUCCGCAUCACUAUAAACCCUCAUCCCUUGCAAUCUUAAGAGAAAAUGUUCCAUAUCGAACACCUCCUAAUCGUUAAGCUGCUUAGAGAAUCGAGGAACCCAUACUUCCCCUCCAAAGUGGCUCCACAUAUCUUCCACCCAAGCCUCCUUAGCCAAGGAAAUAGAAAAUAAGGAUGGAAAAGAAUUAUACAAAGAAUCGUCUCCACACUACCUGUCAUUCCAAAAUCUAACCCUCCUACCAUUCCCCACAGAAUAAACCAUAUUGUUGCCUAUCAAAUCCCAAUAUCUACUAAUAGCUUUCCACAAACCAACCCCAAAGCUACCUCUUACAUCAUAAGAUCGCCAACCACCUGCUUCUUCCUUAUACUUCCCAUAGAUAACUUGCCUUCACAAAGUCUCUCUCUCCACCGCAAAACACUAGCUCCAUUUGUAUAAAAGAGCCUUAUUCAACAACGCCAAAUUCCUCACACCCAAACCACCCUUUCAUUUAUCUGAGCAAACAAUAGACCAAUUUACUAAAUGAGGCUUCCUUUCCAAGGCCCCUCCACCCGAAAGGAAAUCCCUUUGGAUAUGCUCCAACUGCAAACUCACACUCCUUGGUAUAUAGAACAGGGACAUACAAUAGAUAGACAUAUUGGAUAGAGUGUUUCAGAUCAAGGUCGACCUACCCCCUUUGGAAAUAAAUUGUCUUUUUUAAAUUGAAAGUCUUUUCCUCAUCCUUUCCUCUACCCCAUCCCAAACUGCUAUCUCCUUAAAUGAGCACCCAAAGGAAGACCCAAGUAAGAAGAAGGAAGCGGCUAAACUUGCAACAAAAAGAAAUAUGAAAUAAAUUACUAUAUAUUUCCAAUUAAAGUUCUAUAAAUCACUUUAAGUUCCAAACAUGGACAAAUAUCUAAGUUUGAUUAACUACCUAUAUGCAAAGAAAAAAGUAAAGCAGGACAACAAAAUAUGCUCUGAACUUCUCAACAAUGAAAGUCCAGAACUGAGUUGUGAGAUGUAAGAGUUUAGGUAUCAACAAACUCAUUUUCCUUAUAUCGCUAAUCAUUUUGUUCUUCUACCUUCUUUUCCUUAUUUCAUAUAUAUAUAUAGUUUAUAUGUGAAUGUGCUUUGCAAAUUAUAGGAUGAUGGAAAAUCCUAGAGAAGGGAAAAGAGUGGCAAAUAUUUUUUUUUUUCUCUUGACAUGUGAAUUACUCUUUUUAAAUUGGUAGCAUUUCCUAUUAAUUUGACGGGCUGUGUUUUGCUUAACUGUUGCACUAAUAAGUUGCUCCUUACUUGUGAAAAAUGAAUUGUACAUGUUUAAUAAGAACAAUGAAUUAUUUUGUUAAAUUUAUCAACCAUGGUGAAUGGAGACUUGGAACCAAUUACUAAUUAGUCUCAUUGUAAGGAGCCAUAAGUAGUUAAAUGAAGGCUAUAUUAAUACGCUGAAUAUUCAGUCAGAUGAUGGGAUUAAUUUAUCUGGAUUUUGAUUCAAAGCUAUGUAUGAUUAUUUAAUGACCCCUCCAGCCUCAAUCAUGCUUAUCAAACAAGCCUUGAUGAUUCAAAUAAAGUAACCCCACUAGCCUCAAAUAAUACAAACCGUAUAAAGCAAAGCUCUAAAAGGCUAAACAAUUCAAAUAAAGUAGCUCCUAAAGCCUCAAUAAUGCUGCAAAAGGAUAGACCAUGAUUAAACUCACAAAAGCUGCAGAUAUUAUCUCUUCAUCUCACUCGCCUUUAUUCAUCCUCCAUUCCUCUUCAUUCAUCAAUCCCACCUUCUUCACCCUCCCCAUGGCUGAUGCCAUCGUUUCUAUUGUGCUGGAACGCUUAACUUCGGUUGUUGAACAGCAGAUUCAUGAACAAGUUUCUCUGGUUCCGGGUGUUGAAUCAGAAAUUCAAAGUCUCAAAAACACACUCCGCUCCGUCCGAGAUGUUCUUGAAGAUGCCGAGAGGAGAAAAGUGAAGGAAAACUCUGUCCAAGGUUGGUUGGAGAGGCUCAAAGACAUGGCCUACGAAAUGAUGGACGUGCUGGAUGAGUGGAGCAUUGCUAUUUUUCAAUUCCAGAUGGAGGGAGUUGAAAAUGCUUCCACGUCUAAGACGAAGGUAAGCUUCGGUAUGCCCGCCCCUUUCAUCCGUUUCAAGCAAGCUGCAAGUGAACGGAUCGACUUUAAUUUUGUCUCUAGUAGGAGUGAGGAGCGACCACAGCGACUUAUAACUACCUCUGCAAUUGAUAUUUCAGAGGUGUACGGUCGGGAUAUGGAUGAAAAAAUCAUAUUAGUCCAUUUGUUGGGUAAGAUGUGUCAAGAGAAAUCUGGCAUCUACUUCGUCUCCAUAUUUGGGACGGGAGGCAUGGGAAAAACAACUCUUGCUCGACUAGCCUACAACCACCGAAAGGUGAAGACCCAUUUUGAUGAAAGAAUAUGGGUCUGUGUCUCUGAUCCUUUUGAGCCAGCCAGAAUUUUUAGGGAUAUUGUUGAAAUCAUCCAGAAAGCGUCUCCUAAUCUCCAUAAUUUGGAAGCUUUACAACAAAAGUUUCAAACGUGUGUCUCUGGAAAGAAGUUCCUUCUUGUGCUAGAUGAUGUGUGGACUGAAGACAAUCAAUUGUGGGAACAACUGAAGAACACCCUCCACUGCGGAGCAGCAGGGAGUAGAAUUCUGGCGACCACACGCAAAGAGAGUGUUGUUAAGAUGAUGAGAACUACGUACAAGCAUCUCUUGGGGGAGUUGUCUUCGGAGCAAUCUCGGGCAUUAUUCCAUCAAAUAGCUUUCUCUGAAAGGAGUACUUGGGAGAAAGAGGAAGAAUUAAAAGAAAUUGGUGAGAAAAUAGCAGACAAAUGCAAGGGCUUGCCCCUCGCUAUAAAAACUUUAGGGAACCUCUUGCGCUUAAAAAAUAGCGAGGAAGAAUGGAAGAACGUAUUGAAUAGUGAAGUAUGGCAGCUAGAUGAGUUUGAGAGAGAUAUUUCCCCUGCUUUGUUGUUGAGUUAUUAUGAUCUGCCCCCUGCAAUUCAACGCUGCUUCUCAUUUUGUGCUGUUUUUCCAAAAGACUCAGUUAUUGAGAGAGAUGAGCUGAUCAAGUUGUGGAUGGCACAAAGCUAUCUCAAAUCUGAUGGGAGUAAAGAGAUGGAGAUGGUUGGGAGAACGUACUUUGAAUAUUUAGCUGCUCGGUCUUUCUUCCAAGAUUUUGAAAAAGAUGAUGAUGGUAAUAUAAUAGGUUGUAAGAUGCAUGACAUAGUGCAUGAUUUUGCUCAAUUUUUGACUCAGAAUGAAUGCUUUAUUGUGGAGGUUGACAACCAACAAAUGGAGAGCAUAAACUUAUCCUCCAAAAAGAUUCGUCAUACCACCUUAGUUGUCCGAGAGAGUACCCCUAAUUUCGCCUCCACUUAUAACAUGAAGAAUCUACUCACCCUCUUGGCUAAGGAAGCAUUCAAUUCAAGUGUUCUUGAAGCCUUACCUAAUUUGUUAAGGCAUUUGACAUGUCUCAGGGCAUUGGAUUUGAGCAGCAAUCGGUUGAUUGAGGAACUUCCUAAGGAGGUAGGAAAAUUGAUUCAUUUAAGAUUCCUUAAUCUAUCAAAUUGUAGGCGAUUGAAGAAGUUUCCUAAAACAAUUUGUGAUUUAUAUAAUUUGCAAACCUUAAAUAUUCAAGCAUGUUCCUGUAUUCAGAAACUACCACAAGCAAUGGGUAAACUAAUUAAUUUGAGGCAUCUUGAAAAUUAUGGUGUUCUAGAGGGCUUACCAAAAGGAAUUGGAAGAUUAAGCUCUCUUCAGACACUGGAUGUUUUCAUUGUGAGUAGUGAUGGCAAUGAUGAAUGCCAAAUAGGAGACCUGAGAAACUUGAACCUAAGAGGAUGUCUUUCCAUUAAAGGGUUAGAUGAUGGGGAGGCAGAAAAAGCAGAAUUGAAGAAUAAGAUACACCUCCAACGUUUGGAUUUGGAAUUUGGUAGAAAGGAGGGGACCAAGGGUGUGGCUGAAGCUCUACAACCCCAUCCAAACUUGAAAUCUCUACGUAUAUUCGAUUAUGGUGAUAGAGAGUGGCCCAAUUGGAUGAUGGGUUCAUCAUUAGCUCAACUGAAAAUACUCGACCUCGACUCUUGCUUAAGAUGUCUGUGUUUGCCUCCUUUGGGGCAACUGCCUGUCCUUGAGAAGCUGGUGAUAUGGAAGAUGUAUGGUGUGAAAUACAUAGGUAGUGAGUUUUUGGGAUCAGCAUCAACAGUAUUCCCAAAGCUGAAGCAACUGAUUAUUUCUCGUUUGGAUGAAUUGAAGCAAUGGGAAAUAAAAGAAAAAGAAGAGAGGUCAAUAAUGCCAUGUCUCAAAUACUUGAUUACGGAAUACUGCCCAAAGCUGGAGGGACUGCCGGACCACGUGCUCCAGAGGACACCAUUGCAGAAAUUGGACAUCACAUGUUCUCCUAUUCUAGAACGACUCCUAUUCUAGAACGACGCUAUCGAAAGGAUAUUGGCACAAAAUAUCUCAUAUCCCACAAGUCAAAUGUAGAUGGUACUGAAUGGUCAUCACACUUCACCUCAUGUUGCUCUUGUUACAGGUAAUUAGAAUUUAUCUUAGUUUUCAUUUCCAUUGCAUUCAUAAUCGCACACGUUAAUCUAUUCCAUAAAUAUUCUUUUUCUGUAUCUUUCCAUUAUCUUAUAUCCAUAGGUCCAUUUUGGUUUACAUUGUUACUAAAGUGUUUAUCCUAUAAUAUAUACACCUUGCAAAAUUUAAAAAUAAAAUAAGAGAAAUCUUAAAAAAAAAAAAAAAAAUGAAAACCAUUUCUACAAAAAUACCUCAUCUAAACUUGAAACCUUUUCUAUUCUAAAAGUGUUUUGUUACAUGAUCAAAUACCUUGAAAAAGCUCCAACAGCCAGGUAGAAGAGAUUUUAGGUGGUCAUAUGUGAUCUUUAGACUCUAUAUAUACUAUAUAAUGUUAUAUAUUAUCAAAUUCCAUUUUAGGGUACACUUUUGUUGGGCAUGGGCCUAAUUCUACUUAUAGGGUUAUAAUUAUAAUGACUAUAAUUAAUAUAUUUUUUUAUAGUUAUGAAGGUUAUAUGAAUAGUUGAAAGGUUUAAUACAAGGAUGGUAACAUCCACAAAUUUCUACAAGUUUAUAACAUUCCUAUUUAAUUGUUAGUCAUUCUUACAAUAUCUCCGUUAAACUUUAUUAGAAGUUAAGGACAAAAAAUAUCGGCUUCGACAGAUAUAUCGAUAACUCGAUUUUAUGGAUAUAUUGGAAAAUAUUGAUGACUAUUUUGAUACAAAAUAUCAGUGGAAGAAAUUUUGAAAAGAAUUAAAAAAGAUUAUAAAACAAGAAAUAAUACAUCUAUUUAAGUUGUUAUUCUUAAAUAAUAUAUGUAUAAUAUAAUUUGUAAUAUUUGACAGUAAAUUAAUAAUAUAUAACACUUGAAAAUAUAUUUCGUAGAAAAAUAUAAUUUAGAUGUAUUUAAUGAUAAAAAAGAAAUUAUUCCAUAUGUAUGAUUUUUAAAAUAUUUAUAAUUUUAUUUUAAAAUUUAAAAUUCUAUAUAUUUAAUUAAUAUCUAAAAUAUUAACAAAAACUCACUAAAAAUUAUGAUAAUGGUUUUUAUAUUUUUAAUACUUGGUUAAAUUGAAUUUGGAUGUAAGAUAAUUAAAAUUCAAUUUUACUAAAGUUAUAUAUUAUCAAAUAGGAUAUAUAUAAUGUAAAAUACCUACUGCUUUUUUCCUCUUAGUUUCUUUAUCUAUUAUGGUUCUUAAUUAGACAACUAAAAGUGUUUCCAAGUGAAGCUGAUCUUUGUAUAUCUUGGAUCCUAAUGGCGAGUUCUAUUUAUGGGAAUGAGAAUAAAAAAUAAGAUGGGUACGAAGGUGAAUCAUAUUACCACAUACAAGAGAGAAACCAAAAUUCCAACAGGAAUAAGAUUUAAUUUUCAUAAUGAUGAAGUUUUUAUUCAUUUUCUUAUUCCAAAAAAUAAUAUUUUAAAUUCAUUAAUGAAUGAGAAAUGAAACAAAUGAAAAACAUGAUCUAAAUGUUAACUAAUUAAUAUUUUAAUAGCCUAACCUAUUAGAUUAUUUGCUCAAAAUACUGCAAAGAAAAUUUCAAAACUUAUGAAUAAAGACCAUCUUGAUUCUUGUCUCAAAAUUAUAUCCAAAGGCAUCAUUUAUUAUUAUUAUUUGUCAUUUUUACUUGCAAGCUUUGAUCUUUAUUUCUGUCUUGACUUAUUUUAUUUGCUUUCUUAUCUCUUUUCCAUCUUAAUUUUAUUGGUUAUGGGAUGUGAAGGAGAUUAACACUAUUGUUUUUCGUUUCAGAGAAGCAAGUUCAAAUAAAGAGGAGAAAAUUCCCAACACCUAUGUAUUGUGCAGUUGUCUAUGAAUCAAUUUCAAAUUGGUGAUUUGUAAAUUCUUUUUCUUUUUUUCUUUUCCCCUUUUAUUGGUUUGCUUAUAUAUGUAAGAAUGUGUAAACUUCAACUUUAUUGUUUGGAUUUAUUUCCUACAACAUAAAUGGUUUGCGAAUUAUGGGAACUUGCAUGCAUGCAUGCAUGAUGUUACUUCUGAUUUGUUUUAAGGACAUAUCUAUUGUUAACCUAAUGGAUGAAGUGGGAUGGUCUUGAAAUUUCAAUGCAAACAAAAUUUUCUCCUAGAAGGGGCUUUGCCUAAUAAAUGUGAGGCAUUCUCAAGUAACUUAAGGUCCGUUUGAUCAUGUUUUAUGAAACUUAUUUUUUAAAACUGUUUUUUAUUCUUUAACUUAAAAACAAUUUUUAAAAACAAGUAACUUAAGGUCCGUUUGAUCAAACGGAUCCAUGUUUUCCUUCUGUUUUUAAAAAUUGGUGAAAAUAACUCUUAUUUGUUCUCUAAUUUUUUUUUUUUAUCUAUUUCACUUUGUUUUUAAAAAUUGUUUUCAGAUAAUAACGAUAAAACAAUGUUAGAAAAUUUUAAAAAUAGUUUUCUGUUUUUUAAAAACAAAAAAUUGUUUUAAAAUAUACAACCAAACAGGUUCUUAGUGUUUGUUUGGAUACACUUUUUAGUUUUAUAAAAUGCUUUUUGUUUUUUAUUUAUAAAAUUAGAAAAUAGUAGUUUCUUUAUAUAAGAUAUAAGAACUCUAAUAAUUUAACAAAUUGAAAUAUUAAAGAAAAUUUACUAUCUCAAAAUUUAAAAUUUUUUAAAAUGAAUUUAAAAAAUAUAAAGUAAAUUUAUACAUAAGGAUGUUUUUGGUAAAAAUGCAAAGAUGCAUUAAACCUUAUGAUUUUUUUUUUGGAUAUAGUUAAUUAAUUAAUUAGAACCUAAUAUAACUAAAUAAUCAAUUAAGACUCAAGUGGAUUGGUUUAGGUGACCCAAAUCCAAUUUAGGAUCAAGUCACUUAAGUCUAACAAAGAACCCUAUAAAUACCCCUUAAGGGAUAAGGUUUUAGUCUUCUUUCUAUCAUCUUCCAAAGAGCCUUCAGAGAGAAAAACCCUACUUGUCUUUUAAAGAGAAAAGUUCACCAUUUUCUCAUGCUUAUACCCUUGAAAGAGAGUGAAUGGAAGAGUACAGGGUAGACAACUUCUACAAUGGUCUUUGACAUCUUCAUCAUAUUAGAAAUGAUUCAAAAACAUUCAAAUCAAAAUGUAUGAUUAUUACAUUCUCUAUAUCUAAUUAUUAUAAUGGUUUUUUGAUGUUAUAUAUUCUGUUGCAUUAGAUUUAGAGAUGCCUAGGUAGAUAUCAUACACCCUAUAUGAUCUAGGGUUAGGGAACAGAGUGAUUUGAAGUUCUUCGCAAUUACAAAUUCUACAAAACCCUGUUAAAAUCGUUGAUGAAAUAGAGUUUGAAGGCUAAAAUGAAUUAAGAUGAUUAAAGUGCCACCACAAAUUGCAGUAUAAUCCUAUUGAAAUGAUGGGUGAAAUAGAAGCCAAAAUUAAUUGAAAAGAUUAAGAACUUGUUUAAUAACUGUUUUAGAUCACAUACUCUAUGUUCAAAACAAGCCAUCCAAACAGCCCUUGGAGAAACAAAAUAACACACGCUGGAAAUUAUUUGCCAAAUAGAGUUUGGAGAGAAAUUCCUGAAUCACCUCUUUUCUCAAUUCUCAUCAACCAGAGACAAUAAGAAUGAGAGUCAACUCCCAUUUUUAUUGUUUAUGGAGGGCUCUGUAAAUUUCAGGCUUCUCCAUUGAAGAGUAAAAGACAUUGAGGAAGACAACGGUUGGCGAUGAAUGGAGGUGAUUGACUUUUUUGUAGGCUUUUGUAGGCUAUUUGUAGGCUUUUUGCUAAGUGGCAAAGUGGCAACACGGUUUGUUAGGGUGACACCACUAGUGGCCAGGUCAUGGGCUAGCUUGGUUUGAUCUGGAGGUAAUGAGUCUGGAGGAUACCUCCUGCCAGACUAACAUCUUCCCUUUUUGAGGACUUACUAUGACUAGAUAUCCCCUUCCAAGGGUACCUUAUUUUUGCAUCACCAAUAUGUUAGAUCAUUGAUCUUAACUGUGUCCAUUUAUAACUUAUUUUAUGAAUUGAUGUGAGUAUCUCGAAAUGAUUUAAAGAAGUGAUUACUAUCAUUUACUUAAUUGAUCUCUAUACGUUGUUAUAUUUAAUCACAAGAAAAUACAUACUCUAUUUAAGAUAAUAAAACUUUGCAAGGACAUGAAAUAUAACUAACAUUCACAUAUUAAGCAACUUAAAUUUUGAUCAUUUCAAAUAAAAUAAAUCUAUGUUGAUUGUUCCAUAAAAGUACCAUAGUAUAUGUUUGACCUCAUUUUAAUGUUUUCGAAUUGGUGCAGAAUUAUAUCAUGUAAGUUAACAUGUAAUAUUAUAUUUGGUCGUGUAUAAUUUAUUAGAUGUCUCAAUGUAACAAUAACAUUGAGAUGAGGUACUUCUAUAGAAGUACUUUUUCUUUAGGACAAAAUGAGUCAUUUUUUACUUGAAUGAACUACCUCUAAAGAACUCAUGGUAGAUUGAUUAUACCACGGUAAGCGGUAGUGCUGGUCCUCUCUCUAUAUUCAUUAGGACCUGCCCCAGUUGGGUUAGAACUUAAGGGGAAAGUUCACUAGUAAGCACUAUUCCAUGUUUUCUUCCAAGAAUUGUCCUACAACCUACUCAAUGGGUCUCUGACUUUCCUUAAGUUACGCUUGAUUAAAGCCUUGGCGUAUGACUUUUGUUGGUGACUAAAUCCUUGAAACUCCAAACCUCAAAAAUUUAUCUUUAACAACACUUUCAUUAAUAUUAAACUUUCUACGGUACCUUUUAUGAUAUGGUCGAAGAAAACUAUGGAAUUAAAGAUCAACUUAUAUCUAUUUCGUUUAGAGAAAUCUAAAUGGGCUAAAAAAAUUAUAAUUAUUUAUUUAUUUAUUUAUUUUAUGAUACAAAAAUUGUUACUUAGUACAAAUAGAUAUAUUGUAAAGAAGGAUAGUAAAAGUAAAAUUUGAAAAAUUAAAUACAUACGUACGCGUGUGUGUAUAUAUAUAUAUAUAUAUAUAUGAUGAGGGUCCAUAAAUAAAAUUUCUGACAAAAUAUAUUUUGUUAUGAAAAAUAUUCAUAAUUGAUCAGGUAUGCACUUGGUGCAUAUAUAUAUAUAGAUCAAACAAGGUCAGGUUUUAUUGAAUGUCAUAUGUUCAAACAACACGUAGUAGUCUAGUACAAGACUCCAACCUCAAAUGAAAUAUUGUACCACAGACCUCAAACAGUGUCAAAUAUGAGUCUACUCCUCUAUCUAGAGAAAGAAACUCAUGGCCACGGACACCAAGGAGGCAAGGGCACUUGCAAAGACGGCAGAUGAUGGAGAAGCAUCUAGAGAUGGAUUGCAGGAGCUGGUGAACCAGUCAUGGGGCUGGGUGAUGGUGUCGGAGCACAAUCAUCAGGAUUACCAGUGGGAGAAGGUGUCCCUGGAGGUGGUUCAGUGGCUGUUGGUGGUGGGGCCCCCGGAGUUUGAGUUGGGGUUGCAGCAGGAGGUGCGUCGGUCAUGAGACUCAGUGACAGAGUGGGAGCGCAAUCAUCAGGAGUAGCAGUCGGAGGUGUCCCGGGGGUAUUUCCAAAUUUAAGCUUAUUAGUUAACACCUUUGGUAACAACUUGUAAAGGCUACCCAUCAAGCUUAUAGAUCAACCUAAAGUCCUUGAGAUCUCUAGCUUCCCCUUUCUUAGGAAUUAAAAUCAGAAAAGAGACAUUAAUGUUCUUCACAAACUUGUCCUAAUUAUGAAAAUCCUUAAAGAACCCUAUAACUUCCUCUUUCAGAAAACUCCUGCUGAACUACCAAAACGCCAUUGAAAAACCAUCAAAACCAGGAGCUUUACUCCAUUGAGGUCCAAGAGAGCUCCAAAAACUUCUUCCUCAGAGAAACGAGCCUUUAACAUUACUGCAUCCUCCUCUCCAAGGAUCCUAACCUGUGGCUCAUUGCAUCUGGGCCUCCACUCCUCUGUUUCAAUAAAAAAUAAGGGAAAACCUAAACCACUCUAUCUUUGAUGUCUCACUCUUCCGUUACCCAAGUCUCAUUUAUUUUGAUCUUCACCAUAGAGUUACCUCUCUUAUCAACAAUAGCCAUUUUGUGGAAAAAGCCAGUAUUUCUGUCUCCCUCCCUCAACCAUAACUCUCUAGACUUUUGCCUCCAAUAGGUUUCUUCCAUUAUCACCCAUUUCUUGUACUACCCCAAAGCCUACUUUCUGAGACUUUGCUCUUCUGUGGACAACAUCCUAUCUUCUUUUACAGAAUCCCAAAAUACCAUCUACUUCAAGGUUGAUUCCUUUCUAGCAGAGGUAUUUCCAAACACUUCUCUGUUCCAAGUCUUCAAGGUAGCUUUAAGCGCUUUAAGUUUUUCAGAUAGAGUGAAACUAAAAGACCCUCUGAAUUGGAAACCCAUCCACCAACUCCUUACCAAAUCCAAAAAAAAUAAAAUUGUCUUCCUUCAACCACAUAUUCUCAAAUCUAAAAGGGAAAUGACCUUUCCUCGCUUAUCCGCCGUCCAACAAGAUUGGGUAGUGGUCAGAAACAGGUCUAGGAAGAACACAUUGAACUACCCCAAUGAAAUAGCACUCCCAAUCCUCAUAAACUACAAAUCUAUCCAACCUUGACUUUAAUUGAUUAUACAAACUGUCCCUCUACAUGAAAGAACCCACCUGCAAUGGGAGAUUCCGCAAUUCCAAAUCCUCAAUGACUUUUGAGAACCUUCUCAUUGUUGAAGACAGUCUUGAAACUCUAUUCCUCUUUCUCAAGAAUCUAACAACAUUAAAAUCUCCUCCUAUGCACCACAGAUCUUGCCACAAACCCUUGAUAGUUCCCAACUCCUCCUGGAACUCUUCCCUAAGCCUCCCAACAGAAGGCCAUACAUACAUGUAAAAACCUUGCAGAAGCCAUCCUCCACAUUCUUAAACCGAUAGGAAACCGAAAAAUCUCCAAUUUCCAUUCCAACAAGCUCCACUCCAAGUCUAACACCCCUUUUCUUAUCAUACCCUAAGAAUUAAAAGCGCCCCACUCCAAGAACCUGCCCACCCCUAAAGACCAAACCAAACUACACGACAAACUUUGGAAUUUGGUUUCCUGGAGAAAAAUCAAAUUCGCUUUCUAAGUCUUGAUUACAAAUUUGAUGAUCUUUCUUUUAUCACCAUCAUUUGCUCCUUUCACAUUCAAAGAGAGGAUUUUUAACUUCAUUUACCCAUAGAAACUAUACCCCCACUCUCUCGGGAGAGAGCUCUUCCAUAUCCCAAACUUUUAAAAUUAAUGGAACACUCCAAUCUUCUAAGUUCCCUUUCAAACCUUGAGGAUUCAACCUUUACCUUUUUAGACCCAGACCACUGAUCCUUUUAUUCUUUCCUCAAUUUCCAGUUCUUGAGCAAAACUAGAAUGUCCUCCUCAAAACCAAUAGUCGACAUGCCCAGAAAGUCACUAAAUUGGGCAAGACAACAUGAUUUCCAUUCCUCAGCUGACUCCGCUCCACACUUAAGCCACCCCAUUGAAUUGUCCCUUUCCUUGAGGCUCGCCUCACCUACCACUACCAGAGCCCUUUCCUCCCCAGAAGAGGUCAUUGUAGAACUCCCGUCAACCAAAACCACAUUUAGAGGAGGAAUCGCAUACGCAUCAACAACCUCUGCCCCUAGGCCACAAACAAAACUGCAGUCCCCUUUCGCAACCCUUUUCUGACAAGGAGGAGAAGAAGAGAAAGGCAGAAAAAUCUACUAAGCUUCAUUCUGUAUCAAACCACUUCAACUUUAAUUUUCAUCCUUAUUAUUUAAUCAUAGUGUUUUUUAUUGUAUGCUGAUGAAAUUAUCUUUUACCGCUUUCAACCGUCUCUUUAUGCUUCCAAUUGAUAAAAAAGAUAUAUCAUUUCCGAAACCAAAUCUUUGUUUGUGAUAAUCAAAAUUUGAUGGUAAUGAAAACAGUACAAUAGGCCCCAUUAUCGGCCAAGAAGAGUAGAUCUCUUGUAAUCGGGCUACAUCAAGAAUUAAAAGCAAAUUUCAAACAUCUGAUGACUGAGAUUGAGUAGAUUAUGGUACUUUUUCCUUGGAAAAGAAACUCAAUUCAAUCCAACCUCGCUGAAUUAACAUAGAUCUAGCAACACAAAAUUGUUGAUCAUCUGUGGUCUUUCAUACACUUUUAAACACUCUUUAUCAUCUCUAAGUUAUAUAUAUAUAUAUAUAUAUAGAUAUAUAUCAUAGUACUUGGAUUUGCAUAGCAGAGAGGGAAAUGAGAAGGAGAAGAGGAGAGAUUGCGUGAGUUUUACUUUGACAUUUCCAGCUUCUUUGAUGGCAGCAAUGAUCCUAUCUUGAUACGGCAACAGCAUGUGGCCAACCGAAGAGAUCACCAGAUCCACUUGCUUGAUCGCCUUCACCGAACUCUCGUGAUCGUACAGAUCUCCCUGCAACAUAUAACAUAACUAAUCCAUAAACUAUUUCAAAACUCUAAUUCUCCAAAUUAAAGAAGUUGGAAUUCAAAAAUAGGUGUGUGUUUUUCAAACCAAACAAUUUCAAACAUAAACAUCAAAACUUUUCUUUUCUUUUCUUUUUUCUUUUCCUGCCGAUACAGUUUUCGUUUUUUUAGGAACUUGAACAUCCUAAAAUUCUAGAACUCCAAUUAAUUUCGUUCAUUUUCUCGGCAGGCAAAAGAAGCCAAAAUUGGAUGGCGAGACAUAAGAGCGAAUGGUACGUACAUACAGCAGAGUCACGCCGGAGCUCUUGUAACUCUCAAAGAGUUCCGACUUCGCAGGAUUCGAAAGGCCGCAUUCUCUGACGAGAGAGAAAGUAGGAUGACCAGACCUAGCGCUGGCAGGAACAAUGAAUUUUCCGAUUUUGCCGGUGCCGCCGAUGAUGAGAAUCUUGCUCUUUUCGGACAUUGCGCCUGUACACAAAUUUUUCUUAAAAGGAAAAUUAGUGCCAAAUUUGAAAUUCGAAUCGACCUUGGGGGAUGAUGCACAAUCUCUAUUUACUCCUCCGAUUCUUCUUGCAAGAAAAUUAACUUGAGCAUUCAUUCAGUUCGAACCUUGGUUUGGAUUCUUCAGUUUGUGCUUGGACUUGACUUGUCUCGGCAACUUUGGCUUGGCUCAAGUUCACAAGUUCACGAAUGCUUGAUCUUGAAUUGAAGGCCACUCGAUUUUGCGUUUUGGAGCUUCGAAUGCUUGAUAUUUGAUGAGAUUUGAUAUUUGUGUUUUCACGUUCAAAUUCAUGAUUUUUAUUUAUUUUAAUAAUUAUAUUUUAAUUACCAAAAUUUUUAUUUCUUUAUUUACAUUAAACCUUGAUAAAUUAAUAGCUUUAAUACCAAGAAAAAAAAAAUAUUAUUAAGCAAAUAUUGAUUAAUUGGUUAAUUAAUAAUUUAAUAAUUUAUUGAUUAAUUGAUAAAUUAUUAAUUUAUGAAACGUAUUCCUUAUUUUUUCAAAAUAUUGAAUUUAAUAUUGUUUUAUUGUAAUUAAGUAAAUUAAAUAUUUCUAUUACAAACUAACUUUCAAGUGGACAUUAAUUUUAAGAAGGAACAAGUAAUAUUGGACACAAAGACCUUAUAAAUUAAUCAUUUGAAUUUAACAACAUACUAGGGAAUUAUUAAUUUAGUACCUUAGCGGGAGUUGGGACCAAUAAAAAAACAUUAUUCAAUCAAAGUUAUCAAUUUAUUGAUGUUCCUUAAUAUUUUGACGACAACUCGUCUUCCUUUUGUAUAGGUCAUGUCACAUGUCUCACAAGUUGAUUUCAUAGAAUUAUUGCCAAGUAACAAUUUUUAUUUUAUUUUAUUACACUUAUUUUAUAUGGUAUAUUGUUUUUUUUCCCCUUUUUUUUUAUGAAACAUGACAAUUAUUAACUCGUUAAAAAAAAAAAAAAAUCAUCACUCUACAAAUGUUUCAUUGAAAAAGUUAUUCAUAAGUUUAAGGUAAAAAGUGAACAAUUAUUUAUUUAUUUCUCAUCAAUAAAGUUCAUAAAUGUAACUUGAGUGAUGCUCAAACCUAAUUUUGUUUGAAAUAUUAAUUGAAUUUAGAAUAUUUUAAAAAUUGGUUAUGAAUUUAAAAAAUCAAGUCGGAACGUGAUCUAUUAGCAUAGGGAGUUAGCAUUGUGCCUCAUCGGACAAAGUUAACCUUUAUCCCGAUUAUGUUAUAAGGUAUGACUAGUAUCCUCCAAACCAAAUAAUGAACUCAAGUUCAACCUAUAAUGACUAACUAUCAUUCUAUACAAAUGUCAUAUGACGUUUUAAAUAGAUUAUAAUAAGGAUUUCAAACAAGCAUAUGGGUGAAUAUGAAAUUUCCCAUUUAUAGUGGUAGUAGGAGUUAAGAGACUUAUGUAUUACAUAUUUGUCAUUACAAUCGAUGUUAUGUAAAAUUUAUGUCAUAAUAUCAAAAUUAUCUCCAUUAAUAUGAUUUUCUUUGUUCUCAACAUUAAUUCUUAUUUUUGUAUUAAAGAAAAUCAUAUUGGAAUGUAAUAUGUAUAAGUUAUUAGCAUUUAAUAAAACCAAAUAUUUACUCCAAAUUAGUAUUAAAUAUAUAUUUUCAAAAUUCAUGUUUCUUAUCAACAUAUUUUAUAUUAUUGUGAACAUUAUAAGUUUUAUUUUCUAUAUAUAUAUCAAUAAAAUAACUUCAAUAUGCAUAUUAUGACUCGUUUUACCAUUUUAUAGAACUUUUCUAAUGUUUUUGAGUUUUAAUCGAUUUUCAUCUAAUUAUUUUUAUUUUACUUUCAAAUUUUCUAUCCAAUAUUUGUGAUAUUUUUUUCAAAAUUUUGGUAAAAUCCACCACCAAUAUUCCAUCAGUUUCCAAUAUUUUCAUUUGGGAGGUGAAUAAAUCCGCUAAUGAGGGGCGGUCUAAUCAUUGUGAUUGUAUAUUUUAUGAACCAUUGUUUUUAUUUUUAUUUUUUUGUCAAAACAAUUUUCCAUACAGUUAUAAAAUAAUUUGAUUCCUGAGUAGGAAUGAAUGAGAACAGUGCCCAAUGCCAUUGCAUCACACUUAAUGAGUCCAACCCGCCUAAUUCAUGCCAAAACUGGUGAUGAGUUGACAUGGUCAACCACAAGUUGAGCCAAGACAUGUGACGCGUACCACCGCCCGUGCCAUGACGUGUGCCACGGGGCCUUACUUGGUGCCCACAAGUCGAGUCAAGACACGUGAUGCGUGCCACCGCCCGUGCCAUGAAGCGUGUCACGGGGCCUUGCAUAGUGCCCACGAGCCGAGCCAAGACAUGUGAGCCACCGGUGCCAUGACACGUGCCAUGAGGCCUUGCAUGAUGCCCACGAGUUGAGCCAAGACACGUGACGCGUGCCACCACCCGUGCCAUGACACGUGCCACGGGGCCUUGCAUGGUGCGCACAAGUCGAGUCAAGACACAUGACACGUGCCACGAGGCCUUGCUUGGUGCCCACGAGCAGAGCCAAGACACGUCACAUAUGCCACCGCCUGUGCUAUGACGUGUGUCACGAGGCUUUGCUUGAUGCCCACAAGCCGAGCCAAGACACGUCACGCGUGUCACCGCCCGUGCCAUGACGCAUGUCACGAGGCCUUGCUUGGUUAGAAUAUAUAGGAAUUAGACUUUGGUUAAAAAAAUACCAAUCGAAAAUAUUAGGUUUGACAUGGAUUGAAAGUGCAAUCAAUCGGUGGAAUAUUAUUUAUUUAUUUAUUAUUAAUUAUAUUGUACAUUGCUUUAUUUAAAUAUAGAGAAAAAGAAAAUAAUAAUAAUAAUAAUAAAUUCUAAUAUUUCUUACUUUUUAAUUGUACAAGAGUAAUAAGUUUAUCAGUUUUAUUUAAUUACUAAAUUAUCUUUGAUAGCUGAAGUUUUAGUUUAUAAAUAUUUAUUUAUAUUAAAUCAGUAACUAAUGAUUUAUUUUAUAAUUUUAAAAUAUUUUACUUUUAAUUUCUUAUUUUAUAAAUAUAAUUUAUAUUUUAUAAAUUCUAUAAUUAUUUUGUUUGAAAAUCAACAUUGAGAACUCAAAUUGCCCGUGAAUUUGAUAUAGGUUUAAGAAUUUUCAACCAAGCCUUGGGUCGACUUUCACACAGGUUAAAAUAUUAAUAAGCAAAUUAACAUAACUGAAUUUGAUGUGACCGAGUUUGGCAUGACUUAACCUUCUAACUCGCCCCCACCUACUUGUUUGGUAUUCACAUAACAAUACUAUAUGAAGGUGCUAUCGCCUUGAUCAACACUAGUUGCUCCUUAUACCGUGUGAGGGGACUAAUGAAUCAAUGAAAAACUGGUCUUACUAGUCUCAAAUUUCAUGCAUGAGUGAAGAAUCAACUAAGGAACUGUUUGGUAGUGAUUAUAGGUAGCGCUUCUAACCUUUGUAACAAUUGAACUUUUUAUCAAAAGAAUCAUUUUUAAGUACUAAAAAUAUUAAAAACACUUCCUAAAAUCACUGUCAUUCCAUCUCUAAUAAAGUCAUUUCUAAUAAAGUAUCAAGGAACAUAAAAUGAAAACAAAAAAAAUAAGAAAAAUAUAAUUUCAUAAACAUCGAUCGGCACAAGAUCAUAAAAGCACAUCAUCCUGCUACAGAAUAUGCUCAGUGGCAUGGCCAAUGAAAGCCCCCACUAUUUUCCACACAACAAAGACUUAGAUGGUGUUUGUUUUUUUGGUUUUUUGCUGAACACCAUUUAGUUUUAGAAUUUAGGUUGUUUGUUUUUUUACUUUUUCAUGACUUAUUAUAAACUUUUUACUAAACAGAAAAAGUCAAAAUAUGUGGCUUUUUCUAAAUAGAAAAAAUAACACAAUGAUUUUUUUUACUUUUUAAUACUUAAUAGAAAUAAAAUACUAUAAAAACAAACAACCUAAUAUUUAAUACUAUUAAGUAUUAAGGUUUUAUUUAGAAUUAAGUAAAAAAACAAACACCACCUAAGACAGAGCCACACAUGUUUAUUUACUAGGAUGGUGCAGCAUGACAAUGAAAACUGCCAGGAACAGAGUUCAUGUCUCAGACAAACUGAUUGAGGUACUCAUCCACAGUUGUGUAUUUGACAUCGGGAUAUAGCUCUGUAGCCUCAACUCCAAAUGAUGGCUGAAUCUCAAAGUUGGUGUGGUCUCCCUUAAUGAAAACAGAGUGACUGAUUGAUAAUAUCACAUUGAGUGGAACAGAAGCUUCUGCAAGAAACAGAGAAAAAAACCAUUCAAUCUGAAGAUCUUAGCCACCACUGAUAGUUCUACAAAAUAAGCAUGUACUAUGCUACCAAGUUUAACCAACUCUCUUUGUUUGUUUGUUUUCCUUUUUUUCUCUUUUCAAAUCCACUGAGUUGUAGUAAAUAGUUGCCCUGUCAUGUAACUGAGGCCUGGGUCAGGACCGCCAAACUUAACCAGCAGGCCAGCUAGCAGUUUCAAUGUUAAAACAACUGAUUCAAGAAUCAGUUCAAUUUUAACAUUUUAGCAUAACUCGAUGCCUGGUUAUCGGUCUACUAUUUGAAUUUUAAAUUAACUAAAGCAGCAGUCUGAAGACUUCUAAAACAGUAAAAAAUUUAAAAGAAAAAAACCAACAACAACGUCUCCACUAACCUUGGAUGUUCUUCAGCACUUGCUCCUCUGGUACGUAGAUCUUUUCAAGGGUUUUCCCAAUCUUUUUCUCCCACAAGGAGACAAGAUCAUUGAAUGAGUAAGUAUUCUGAGGGGGCCUGAUGUAGAGGAUUUUAUUCAAAGUUCUAGGAUCAUUCACAGCUUUGAUGGUAUAGGUGCCAAUGUCAUCCUCCUUGUUAAAAACAGCUGGAGAUGCAAAAACGAAACAGGUAAGAUAGGAGUUGAACCAUUUUCCUUUACCUUAGAAUCUUGGGACUGCUCAGGUCUCUUUGUCAUUAUAUAUAUAUAGAUCAAAAACUCACAGCUGGAAAGCCAACUCCAGAGAACUGUUGACUCAAUAAAGGAGGCUUAGCCCAUCCAAUUCAGUUAAAAACAGAAGGUCAAUAAUGAUUAAUAACUGGAAAUGCAUGAUGAUUCCUUCAGUUCAACAUCAUGUUAGUUGCCUGGGUUAUAGCUCAAUUGCACUGUUGCACCCAAGCAGCAUACCCAACUGCUGGAAGGCUUUGUUUCUGAGUGAACAGGUUUGGUCAGCUGGAGAAGGGGGGAGUGAGGAGGGAUUUUCCAGGUUUAGAAUGGCUACAUUCUGAUCUGAAGGAAUGUAGGCCAUUCUCACCUCAACAACUUUGGCAACCCUGGCUGGAGAAGAUAAUAUGCAGAUACCAGUUUAUGAAAUGGUAAAUUAACAGUCACAUGGAUUUCAUGGUCAUUGAAAUAACUUUUCAUUAGAAUUAUUGUUCACACCCAUUACCAUUGGAUGUUUCAGAGCAGAUGCACCAGUGUAUUUUAAUGUCAAAAGGACAAAAUGCAACAGGGAAGUUCAACUCUUUUAUCAUUUUCAGAAAGGUUGCUUACCCUUUGGAUUCCCAUCUCCUAGAAUAAUAACUUUAUCUCUUGGGGGAGUAGUGGCUCCAGGCUGUGACAAUGAAGGAAGGAAAUAGCCAGCAAAGAAGUUGGAGGAUACAUAGGUGUAGGGAAUUCCUUCAGCCUCAAUAGUGCGGCGGAUUUGAGCCUUAGUUGCAAAUGCUGUUUUUGCUGGCUCAACAGCAUGGACACGGUCCACAUCAUUUCCAAACUCUGAUGGGAAGAAUCUCUAGACAAAAUAAAGCACUUUGAGACAAUGUAUGAAAAACCAGUUAUAUCUAUUCAGUCAUGAUAGCUCACAGACACAGAUCAUAUAUGGGAUAAAUGUUAACAAGAUGAUACAAGUGUUCUACAAGGAUAAAGUUGUCAUGCAAUUAGUACUUGGAAUGGUGGAAGGAAAGAGUGCACUGAUCAGGAUACUUACAUGUAAAGAAAAAAAAUUAAAUGAAAGGGAAGAAAAGAACUACAAAACUUCAUUCUGUAUCAAAUCACUUCAACAUCAAUUUUCAUCUUUUAUUAUUUAAUUAUAAUCCCUAGGGAGUGAUUUCAAAACAUUUGGCAGGAUUUAAUCAGGCUAAAUAGAACAACCACCAUUAGAGAAUAAUGCUAUGUAUCGUUGAAAAAUUAUCCAUAUCCAAUGACAGGCUCAGCUGCAUAGUUAAGUAACAGAUAUGGAUCCAUCAUCUCAUAGGGUAAAUAUUAAGUUCUUAUGGUUCUCCAUUCAACAUAAAGUUCAACAGCACCCAUUCUAGAAGAAACAAUUUGGAGCUCCUGACCUCAUUGUGAAGUGACAUCCAGCCACAUCUCCAUUAUGAGAGAUCUAGACAUCUGAGUCUCAGGGUUCCUUUUGCAGCUUUACAAAAGUGGCGAAGGGACUAUCUUAUGGUAAAGGCUUAUUGUUAUACUAACCAAAAGAAGGAAAUAGCCAUACUUCAGUACUACUUGAAGAGCUAAUAACAUCUCUAAAAUUUGAGGUUUUUUGAUUCCUUUUCCUAUGCUCUUUGAAAAUAUAGGAUUUUUAUUGUAUGUAGAUGAAAUUGUCUUUUAUGGCUUUCAGCAAAUGAUUUCUAUAAGAGUAGCCUCGUCUGAGGGGUUUAAUCAUUUCUAAAAAAAUAAAUUAUUUCCCAAACCAAAUAUUUGAUUAUGAUAAUCAAAAUAUGGGUUAUAUUAUGGCCCUGAAAGCAGUACACAAUAAACCCCAUUUCAGCUGGGAAGAAUAGAUCAAUUGUAAUCAGGCUACAUCAAGAAUUAAAAGCAAUUUUCAAACAUCUAAUAGCUGAGAUUGAGUGGGUUAUGGUACCUUUUUCUUGGAAAAGAACACUCAACUCAAUCCAACCUCACUGAAAUACCAUAGAUCUAGCAAGAAAAGAAUGUUAAGGUCUUUCAUGCACUUUCAAAGACUCUUUUAACAUUUCUAAGGAAGGUGAUAUCAUAUCAUGCACAAAGGAUAAAGAUAUUUGCGACAAAUGAUUACAAAUGCCAAUAAUAAAUAAAUAUCACAGUACUAGGAUCUGCAAAGAAGGGAGAAAUGACAAGGAGAAGCUGAGAAAUUGCAUCAGUUCGGACGGUUAUACCUUAACAUUUCCAGCUUCUUUGAUGGCAGCAAUGAUCUUCACUUGAUCCGGCAACUGUGCGUGGCCAACCGUGGAGAUCACAACAUCUACUUGCUUGAUCGCCUUCACCAAACUCUCGUGAUCGUAUAGAUCUCCCUGAAACAUAACAUAACCAAUCAAUAAACUAUUUCAUAACCCUAAUUCUCCAAUUAAGAAGUAAGAAUCCAAAGAUAGGUGUAUUUUUCCAGUUCACUGAAACCAAACAACUUAAAACAAAAACAUCCGAACUUUUCUUUUCCUGAGGAUCGCCAAUUUUUUCUUUCUGGAUGAGUGAAGAAUUUCAGUUUUCGUUUUUUUAGGAACUUCAAGAUCCAAAAAAUUCUAGAACUCCAACAAAUUUCGUUAAUUUUCCCGGCGGCAAUAAGAAGCAAAAAUUGGAAAAGCAAGAAUGGCGAGAAAAGAGAGCGAAUAGAACGUACAUAAACCAAAGUCACGCCAGAGCUCUUGAAACUCUCAAUGAUUUCAAACUUCUCCGAAACUGUGGAUUCUCUGACGAGAGCGAAGGUAGGGUGACCGGACUUAGCGCUGGCAGCGACGAUAAACUUUCCGAUGUAGCCAGUGCCGCCGAUGAUGAGAAUCUUGCUCUUUUCGGACAUUGUUAACUUUUUUCGGGCGAAUCUCCGGCGAGAUAUGUGGAAUGAGAAGACUAAGAUGAAAGGUCGCGGGGAAGUGGAUGGGCUCCAAAGACCAAGGACGACGAUCUUAUAGGACUGAGGAAAUUAAGAUUGUGUAAUUACGGAACUAGCCUUGUGUUUGAGCCGUAACUUCCGUUUUGGCUAUAUUUUGUAUGCGGCUUCAUUUUUAUGUGAUUCACGAAUGUGUCCAAGUUCAUUUGUUUGACACUUGGUUGGAAUCAGUCAAAUUACAAAACUACCAAAUGUUUGGUUUGGAAAGCGAAAAAGUGUACAAUCCGUUAGUAGAGGGAAAAAAAAUGUGUUUUGAGUAUAAAAUUAAUUAUAAAAUAUUAAUUUUUUAAAAAUAAUUUAAGUUUCGUGCAUUCAUCGAUUAAAAAUAAUACUUAAAAUAGUUAAUAGUAAUACCUAUAUCAUUAAAAUAUAGUACUUAAAUUAUCAAAGAUAAUACCUUUUGAUAGCGAAAAAUCCUCCAUUGAUAAUAGGAAGAUAUCUUCUACUGAAAUCAAAAAUAAAUUUUUCAUCAAAAUCCCUAUUUUACAUUCAAAUGUAUAUUCCAUCUAUGCAUUUAUCUCUUCCUUUGCAUUUAUCGUUUCAAUAUUCUCUUAAUUUUGUUCCAUUUUUAUAGACUUACACAUAUAUUCUUUUAAAUAUCAGACCCGUUUUACCUUUAAUUAAAAAGUAUAUGAAAUAAUAAUUAUUUUUAGAUAAUUAUAUAAAAUUUAUAAUUAUAUAAAUUGAGUUUUGAAAAAGCAUGAGAGAGAAAGGAAAAAGAUAUUGGUUUAAUUAAGGCAUACAAGUCGGUCUUCUUGAAGGGUAGUUAGAUUCCCUACCUAAACUCAGUCUUCUUUUUUAUUGCUAUGAAACUUCUUGCCAAGUUCCAAGUUUUUAGUCAAUGGAUUUAUUAAAUUCUGGUAUGACUUGGUGGGGUGUGUAGUAAUUAGUCUACGGGAGAGUCAUUAUUAAUAUGAAGCAGGGAUUAUUAUAAUAUUUUACUACAUUUCCAAUAGCAAAUGCUACCUCGAAGAAGUUACACGUCACAGCGAGACGCUCGAGAACUUUCGCAGAUUCCAAGACUUGACUUUCAAGCGAGCCAAAAGCCUUGGAUAUCAGAUUCCAAUUGGAAUGGUUAAACCUUUUCAAAUGUUUUCCAUAUAAUUUUAUUGGUUAAAAAAUAAUUAUAAAAGGGUUAUUUGAUUAAAAGGACAUUAAAAAUCUAAUCCUUUAUUUUUUUUUUAAUUAUAUUUUGAUUAAAAUGCCUUAUUCUUUUCUUGUAAAAAUAAUUUUUUUAAAACCUAUAUAUAAAUAAUUAAAAUAAUUAAGAAUAUUUAUGUAAAAAAUAAUUAUUUAAAAAAAAACAAAAAAAAUGUUAAGUUCAUAAAUUUGAAAAUUAUUUCAUCAUUUUAACCAAUCAAUUCAUUAUAAAACACUAAAAUCUCUUUUAAAAACACGACUUCUCUUUUUAAAUUUAAAUACAUGCUUACCCAGUAAAAUGAUUACCUUUUUCCAAAGUUUUUACUAUAAUUUGAUCCGAUAAAAAAAAUGAUAAUUAUAAGAGGAUGUUUAAUAAAUCAACUUAAUGAGUUAAAGAGAUUUAAUAACUCAAUUUAAAUUAUUAAGUAGAUUAAACAUGUUCGAUAAAAUAACUUAAUCUCACCACUAAUAUUUAAAAAGAGCUUUAAGUAUUCGGUCAAAAUAAUUAAUUUAAUUUUAAUUUUAAUUUUAAUAUUUUUUGUCUUAUUUACCUACAUGAACACAUAUUUAACAAUCAUAAUAUUAUAGUAAUAUGCUAAAUAUUUAAAUAUUUUAAUUAUAUUAUAUACUAAUAUGCUAAAUAUUUAAAAGCGUUACUCGUAAUUAAUAAUAUUAUAUAUUACUAUUAUCAUUAUAAAUUUUAUUAUACAUACAUUUAUUAAGAAGAAUACAUUUAUGAUGUCAGCUAUACUUAAGGAUUGUUGUAUUUAAUAUACAAAAGUGUGGGAAGAUGCGAUCGGGGUAUUUAAUAUAUAUAUUACUUCAUUAUGACAUACAUAUAAAAUAAAUAAAAGGUGGAUUCCACUUAUUCUACCUACCAUUCAUGGACCAUAUAAGAUAUAUUAUUUUAUCUUUUUAUCUUAUAUUAUAUUAGAUUAUAUUUAACAAACUAAACAAGACAUAAAGGACAACCGUUGUAUCAAAUUUCAAACUUGAAUAGUUCAUGAACUAAGCAUCAUUGCCUUUUCUUGUCUCAAUAGAAUAAGCCUUUUAAUUGUUUUAUAUACAUUUAUUUCUUCAUCAAGCCUGUUUCUUUCAAGCUCCCUCUCUUGAGCUAGAAAUAUUAUAGUAGGAGCUAGGUGUUCCUUUCUGUAUAGCUCCAUCUCUAAUCAGGUAUCAGAGAAGAUAAAAAAUCUAAUUCCAGAAACUUCUACUUGGAUAAGAUUAGAAAGGCACAUUGUCCUACUACAGAAUAUGCCCAAUGGCAUAGACAAGGAAAUAACCCACUAUUUUCCACACAACAUAAAUUAAGACAGCCACACAUGUUUGCUUAUUUAGAUAGUGCAGCAUGAAAAUGAAAAAGUUGAAAACUACCAGGACCAGAGUCUAACCUCAUCCUAUUUGACAUCAGGAUAUAGCUCUGAAGCCUCCACUCCAAAUGAUGGCUCGAUCUCGAAGUUGGUCUGGUCACCCUUAACAAAAACAGAGUGAUCGAUCGAUAAUAUUGCGUUGAGUGGAGCUGAGGCUUCUGCAAGAAACAGUGGAAAACCCAUUAAUCUAAAGGUCUUAGCCAUCAUUAACAGAUCAACUAUAUAAACGGAUUUUGGAGCCAAAAUGGCCUCUAUGGCUGAAAAAUUAUCCUUUGUGGAGACCUUCUUAAACUUAUUAUCAAGGUAGACCUCUUCAUGUCAAGCAGGAGUCAUUAAAUUAAUUUUUUCCUUUUUAAACUUAAGUUGAAACCACGUUUUGAAAAGGGUUUUUGCAUGCAUGGGUCAAAAUAAUUAUCAAAUUGCAAAAAUGACCCCUCUCUUUAGUUUUAUUGAGAGAUGUUCCUCUUUAAACACUUUUACCCUUUCAGAAAGAUCAUCUCCCUACUUAUUUUAUUCAUUCUAUACAUUUCUCAAUUUCUCCAAUCUCAUUUAUCUUUUCAGUUCAUUUUUUUUUUUUUAUCUCUCUUCUUCCUAACUCUCUGAGUCUCUUGCAUUACCAUGACUUCAGUUUUAAGUGUGACCACCAACUUAAUUUUUUCAUUUUUCUGGCCUUAUCUUAAACUUGCUUUGUUUCUUUUUCAAUGGAUGACACUCUAGGAAAACUUGAUCUCAUUUCAUAAUGUCCCACCCAAUUUUCUUAUCUCUCAAACAACUCCUCAUUCUCAUUCUUGAUGUUCAACUGAAGUGUUAAGUUUUAUUUAUUACGAAUUUAACUAAGGUUAAAUUUUGAUUGAGAAUGAUAAGCUAAAUUACACAAGUGUUACGUUUGGUUGCAAAAAACUUAAUUAGAGUUAAAUUUUCAAUCAUAAUAGUAAUAUGAACCCCGCUAAGUUAAGUUUUAUUUACAAAAGACUUAUGUGGGGUUAGAUUUCUAUUUCAUUUACAAAGGACUUGAUUAUGGUAACCUGAACUAUACUCUGGUUAAGUUUCAUUUAAAAAUAACUUAAUUAGGGUUAAGUUUUUGUUUCACCUACAAAGAACUUGAAAAAGAUCAAGGUCUUGUUAAAAUGCUCAUUUUCACUUAACUACCGAAACAUAGGGCUCGAUAAAAAUAGAGUUGGAUAAGAGAUUUAGUAAAUAACAGCUUUCUAUUCAAUCUCAUCUUCGACGUUGUAGAAGUUCAAAUGAAAUUGCAAAAUAAUCCUAACAAAAAAAAUUAGAAAAAACCCUAACAAAAAACAAUGACAUAAAACCCAACUAAAAAGAAAGAGAAAGAUGAGAUUCGAUCUCAUCUUCGCCAUUAUAGAAGUUUACAUGAAACUCCUAACAAAAAACAACGACAAAAAACCUCAACAAAAAGCUUCAUCCAAAAACAACGAGAAAAAACGCUAACUAGAAACAAAGAGAGAGAUGGAGAUCUGACCUCAUCUUCUAUAUUGUAGAAGUUCAAAUGAAGCUGCAACCAAACAAAAAACAACUCCUAAAAUUUGAAAUGUAAAGGGCUCUAAUGUUUGUUCAGGGGUUUGGACUUCACUGGAAAAAGAGAUGGAACAUGAACUUAGAGAGAAGGAAGAACCUAGAGAGAAGGAGAAAGCUAGGUAUCAAAAAUAGAAGGAACAUUUUUGGAGGAAGUAAAGAAGAGUAAAAAUGUCCAAAAUUGGUCAUUUCUCUAAAGAAUGAAUAAGGGAAGUCAUUAUUUCGAUUUUAAAAGUAUUUUAGUCGACUUCAAUCGAGGUCUGGGGCAUGAUCAGCAGAUUUUACCAGCAGUCCAGGUAACAUUUUCUAACUCAAAACAAUUGAAUCAAAAACCAAUUUCAUUUAAACAAUCUAGCAUAAAGGGAAUGUCAUAUUCACAAUCUCUGUUCCAAUUUAAAUUCACUAGGAAAACCAAAGCUUGAACACUUCCAAAAAGGAAAAUGUUUCUCACUAACCUUGGAUGUUCUUCAGUCACUCUGGAACACAUGUUUCUUUAUUUAAUGGUGCAGCAUGAGAAUGAAAACUACCAGAACCAGGAAGUACCUCUCACACAAACUGGUUGAGGUACUCAUCCACAGUUGUGUAUUUGACAUCAGGAUAUAGCUCUGAAGCCUCCACUCCAAAUGAUGGCUUGAUCUCAAAGUUGGUGUGGUCUCCCUUAACGAAAACAGAGUGACAGAAUGCUAACAUCACAUUGAGUGGAACAGAGGCUUCUGCAAGAAACAGAGGAAAACCAUCAAUCUGAAGACAUUUACCAUCAUUAAAACAUCAACUAUAUGAACAGAGUUUAGGGCCAAAAAAUGGCCUCUGUGGUAAAAAAAUUAUCCUAUGUAGGAACCUUCCCUAACUUACCAUCAAACUAGAACUCUUGAUGCCACCUAGGCACAAUUUUUUAUUUUUUCCCUUUUUUAGUCAUAGGUUGAAACUGCAUUUUGAAAAUGCGGUUUCUGAUUUUAUGUGAAGCCACAUUUUGAACAAUGGCUUGAAACAUGAUCCAAACUCAAUAUCAUUUGACCAAAACAGGCCUUUUUUACCCAAAGUUCAUAUAAACACGUGAUACUUCCAAGUUCAACCAACUCCUCUUUCUUUCUUCUUUUUAUUCCCUUCUUUUUUCAAAUCCAAUGAGCAAUAGUGAAUUGUUAGUCUGUCAUAUGAAUCUCUUAGGAAGACCUUAAUCACGGUCUGGGGCAUGAUCACCAGAUUUUACCAGUAGGCCAGCUAACAUUUUCUAAGAAAAAAGAAUUGAAUCAAGAACCAAUUACAUUUUAACAAUGCAGCAUAAUGGGAAUGCUCUAUUCCCAAUCUCUGUUCCAAUUUAAAUUACUAGGAAAACCAAAGUUUGAACAGUUUCAAAAAAUGAAAAUGUUUCUCACUAACCUUGGAUGUUCUUCAGAACUUGCUCCUCUGGAACAUAUAUCUUCUCAAGGGUUUUUCCAAUCUUCUUUUCCCAUAAGGAGACAAUUUCGUUGAAUGAGUAGGUGUUCUGAGGAGGCCUGAUGUAAAGGAUUUUGUUCAAGGUUCUAGGAUCAUCCGCAGCUUUAAUGGUAUAGGUGCCAAUGUCAUCCUCCUUGUUAAAAACAGCUGGAGAUGCAAAAAUGAAAUGAGUAAAAUAGAGUAGAAUCAUCUUCCUAUUCCUUCAAGCUUGGACUACUCCGUAAUUCCACUUUUUUUGUUUACAGAACACAAACUUGAAAUUAUUUUGAUAUGAAACCAAGUUAUUGUUUUCAUUUAAUGCUCAUGUCAAAAACUCUCAGCUGGAGAGCAACCCAAGAGGACUGUCAAUAUAAAAAAAGAGGCUUUAGCCCAUCCAGUUCAGAUAAUAAUGAUUAAUUACUAGAAGUGCACAAUGGUUCCUCAGUUUGACCACUCCAGGUCACAUGGAUCAUGCUAGUUUCCUGUAUUAUGGCUCAAUUGCAAUGUAGCACCCAAGCAGUCAACCUCAACUGUCGGAAGGUUUUGUUUCUGGGUGAACGGGUUUAACCAGCUGGGGAAAGGGGGAGUGGGGUGGGGUUGUCCAGGUUUCAAAUAGCCACAUUCUGAUUUUCAGGAAUAUAGACCAUUCUCACCUCAACAACGCUGGCAACCCCAUCAAUUUUUUUGCCUGGAGAAGGAUAAUAUGCAGCUAUUGGUUGGUGAAAUGGUAAAUUACACUCUCAAAAGGAUUCCAUGCUCAUCUACAUAACCCGCUGAUUAGUAUUACUUUUUAAGCCCACUAUCAUCAGAUGUCACUGAUACAUGGACCGGUGCAUUCUAACAUCAAAACGAGAAAAUGCAAUGGGAAAUUAAGUUGUAUGAUUUUCAGAGGUUGCUUACCUUUUGGAUUCCCAUCUCCUAAAAUAAUAACUUUAUCCCUGGGGGGAGCGGUGGCUCCAGGCUGUGAAAAUGUAGGAAGGAAAAAGCCAGCAAAUGUGUUGGAGGACACAUAGGUGUAGGGAAUUCCUUCAGCCUCAAUAGUGCGGCGGAUUUGAGCCUUUAUCUCAAAGGCUGUUUUUGCUGGCUCAACCGCAUGUACACGGUCCACAUCAUUUCCAAACUCUGAUGGGAAGAAUCUCUGGAUGAAAUAAAGCACUUUAAGAAGAAGCUGUAUAACUCAAUAGAUUGAAAAACGGGUCAUAUCUAUUUAGUCAUAUUAGCUCACGACAGGGAUCCUAUAUGGGAUACACUUUGACGAACUUGAUACAAGUGUUCAGCAACCAUAAAGACAUACAAUUAGCAAUUCAAACGAUGGAAGGAAAGAGUGCACUGAUCAGGAUUCUUAAAAAGUGAAAGAAAAAACCAUGUAAGAAAUGUGAAAAAAAAAACUACCAAACUUCAUUCAUAGAAGGAAAAUGCGCACUAAUCAGGAUGCUUAGAAGAUGGAAGAAUAAAAACUAAAUGAAAACAGGAGAAAAAAAAAAAAAAAAACUUCAUUCUUGUUUAGUUGUCUUGCUGCUUUUUGAAGCCUUUUGUAUACCAUUUGUCUACAUUGGGUGUGCUGUCUUUUUUUGUUAGGCGCUUCUCUGUUAAUAUAGUUUGUUUUUAGCCUAUCAAAAAAAGGGGGGGGGGGGGGUGGUGGUUGUGGGUGUAUACAAUGGAUUGGAAGUGGUAUAGCAUGCCCCAUGAAAGGGAAUUAGUAUUUAAAAUUUUUUCCUUUUUACAUCAAAAAUUAAGAUUGACUUUAAAGCAUCGAUCCAACCUGAGUCAAUGCACAUGGAUCUAGACAAGAAUCAAGAUUGUUGAUCCUCAAUGAAUAUUGUAUAUAUGGAAUGUUCUUUCAUGCACUUCCAACAUUUCUAAAGAAGGUAUUAUUACAUUAUGCACAAAGGAUAAAGAUAUCACCAACAAAUUAUAACAAAUUCCAAUAAUAAAUAUCAUAGUACUCGGAUUUGCAAAGAAAAGAGGGAAUUAGAAAGAAGAAAAGGAGAAAAGGAGAGAAAUUUCGUCAAUUUGGACAACUUUACCUUGACAUUUCCAGCUUCUUUGAUGGCAGCAAUGAUCUUGACUUGAUCCGACAACUGUGCGCGACCAACGGUCGAGAUGACCACAUCCACUAGAUUAAUCGCCUUCACCAAACUCUCGUGAUCGUAUAGAUCACCCUGCAACAUAACAUAACCAAUCAAUAAACUAUUUCAUAACCCUAAUUCCCCAGUUAAGAAGUAAGAAUCCAAAAGCAGGUGUGUUUUUUCACUUUACUGAAACCAAAAUAACUUAAAACAUAAACAUCCGAACUUUUCUUUUCCUGAGGAUCGCCACUUUUUUCUUUCUGGAUGAAUGAAGAAUUCCAGUUUUCGUUUUUUUAGGAACUUAAACAUCCAAAAAUUCAAGAACUCCAAUUAAUUUCAUUCAUUUUCUCGGCGGCCAAAAGAAGCAAAAAUUAGAAAACCAAGAAUAGCGAGAAAUGAGAGCGAAUAUUACGUACAUACACCAAAGUCACGCCGGAGCUCUUGAAAAUCUCAAUGAUUUCCGACUUGGAAGGAUUCGAAACGGCGGAUUCUCUGACGAGAGCGAAGGUAGGGUGACCGGACUUAGCGCUGGCAGCGACGAUGAAUUUUCCGAUGUAGCCAGUGCCGCCGAUUAUGAGAAUCUUGCUCUUUUCGGACAUUGUGAGCUUUUCCGGCGAAUCUCCCGCGAGAAAUGUGGAAUUGAGAGGACUAAGCGAAAGGUGACUGGAGAGUUGGUGGGCACCAACGGCCAAAGACAAUGCUCUUGUAGGACAGAGCUCGAGGAUAUUAGGAUUAUGUAAUUACGGAACUAGCCUUGUGUUUUGGUGGUAAUCUCCGUUUUGGUUAUAUUUUGAAUGUGGCUUGAUUUUUAUGUGAUUCAUGAAUGUGUCAAAGUUCGCUUGUUUGAAAAUUGGUUUAGAUUGGAAAGUGAAAAAGUGUAUAUCACAUGAGAGAUUUAUAAAUAGAAAAAAAUGUAUUUUCACACACUAAUGUAAAAAUAAUUACAAAAUAAAAACUCUUUAAAUAAUUAUAAAAUAAAAACCCUUUAAAAAUAAUUUAAAUUUUAUGCACUCAUCGAGUACAUGAAAUGAUAAUUUAAUAUAGUUAUGUGUAACGACCCGCUCUCCCAAUAAUGACUCCCCUAGCUUUAAAAAAACGUCUUUAGGAUUAAGAUUGAUACUAUUUAUAAUAACUCGUAAAACCUAAAAAGGUCAUCACGACUUUAAAAUGCGUUUGCAAGAUUAAAAAAAAAUAAAAAAAAUUAUACUUAGAUAGUGUUAGGAACUUUCUCCCCUAUCUGAUGUGUGAUGUUACAAAUAUCCCCCAUGCAGACACAACAUCCUUGUUGUAUCUCAUGGAAUUGUGGAAUUAGAAUGAUAAUUUAAUGUAAUUAUGUGUAACGAUCCACCCUAUUUGAUGUGGGAUGUCACAAAUAUCCUCAUGCAGACACAACGUCUUUGUUGUAUCUCAUGGAAUUGUGGAGUUAAAAUGAUAAUUUAAUGUAGUUAUGUGUAAUGACUCGUUGUCCCAAUCAUGUAGAUAUUAUUCGUUUUGGACCCAAAAAAUGACUUUCCUGACUUUAAAAAAACGUCUAUGUGAUUAAGAUUGAUAUCGUUUAUAAUAACUCGCAGAACCUAAAAAGGUCCCCACGACUUUAAAAUGUGUUUACAAGAUUUUUAAAAAAAAUUAUACUUAUAUAGUGUUAGGAACUUUCUCUCCAUAUGAUGUGAGAUGUCACAAACAUCCCUAUGCAGACACAACGUCCUUAUUAUAUCUCAUGGAAUUAUGGAGUCAAAUAGACAAACACUCCCUAUGAGGCAAACAAACUCCCACACCGAAAUCAGAGAUCAAUUCCGAUAUUAUUUGUAACGAUCUACUCUCAAUUAUAUAAAUAUUGUCCAUUUUAAUCCGAAAGGGCAUUACAGUUUUAAAACGUGUGUACAGGAUUAAGAAAAGCCUUUACAUAUACAGUGUCAUGAUUUUUUUUUUCCUAUCGGAUGUGAGAUGUCAUAUUAUGAAUCCGUCAUUCUGUCUUUAUUCAUUUGUUGCAUUUAAGAUAUUUGAAAAAUUGAGCGAUUUUAUAAAAUGAGUUUUGAAAAGGCAUGAGAGAAGGAAAAAGAUACUAGUUUAAUUAAGGCUUACAACCCGGUCUUCUUAAAGGGUGGUUAAAUUCCCUGCCUAUUAAAUUUCUUAUCAGGUCGUUAGUCAAUGGAUCUAUUAAAUUCUAGUAUGACUUUGUAGAGUAGUAAUUACUCCAUGGGUGAGUAAUUAUUAAUAUGUAGCUGGGAUCAUUAGUAUAUUUUACUACAUUUCCAAUAGAAAAUGCUACCUCAAAUAAGUUACAUGUCUCCGCGAGACACUCAAGAAUUUCAGCAUAUUCCAAGACUUGACUUCCAAGUUAGCCAAAAGACAUGGAUAUGAGAUUUCAAUUGAAAUGAUUAAACCUUUUUAGAAUGUUUUCACUAUAAUUUCAUCGGCACAAAAAAAUAAUUAUAAAACACUAAAAUCUCUUUUAAAAACAUGUCUUUUAUUUUUAAAUUUAAACACUUACUCAUCAUUUUUAUUAGGAAUGAUAAUGAGACAAGUUUUUUUAGAUAUUUGUCUGCCUUGUUCUUAAUGAAAUGGGUUUAAAAUUUAAAUAAACGAAAUUAGAAUGAAUUUGGGAUUUUUUUAAAAACUUGGUACUAGCUAUUGUCUUUUCUCAUCCUAUCUAAAUUAUAUAUAAAAUUAAUUUAGUUUUAUUUUUAUUUCCCUAUUUGAUAUAUAUAUAUAAUUAUUUAUAAAAUACAUUUAUUUUAAUGUAAUUAAAUUUAAAAAAAUCAAAAUAAAUAAAUAAAUAAGACGAGAUGGGCAUGAAAAAUUCACAUACCUACCUUAUUUAAUUUUUUAAAUAAGAUAGAAAUGAGAAUUAUUUUGAAUAAACAAGAUAAGGUUGAAAUGAGAUCAACUCGUCUUAAACUAGUCUCGUUGCUAUCUCUAUUUUUUAUACUUUUUUAGUUGAAAGGGAUAAAUGAAUUAAAGUUAAGGAUUAAGAUUAAAUAUUCUACUUUACAAAAAAAAAAAUGAGACUAUUAAAUAUUAUUAGAAUUUUAUCAACUAGUCAUAAGAGUUUAAAAAAGAAAAUAUUGAUGAACAAUUCGUAGGAGGAAAUGAAUUGAGAAUAAAUUGACCUAGUGAACCUUCAGUUGCAUUGCCUCCUACUAUGUUCCACUUAUUCAGAAACGAAAGAGAAAGGAUGAGGGAUCUAUAACUAUAAGUUAAAAGGACAAAGGAUCAGGACAAAUAGAGGAUAUAUAUUAUGAGAUAUUAUUUCUAAUAGAAUAUGAUAUUUUAAAAUAUUGCAUUUAAUAUCAUUUAGAAAUUCUUCUCUUAUUUUUAUUUUAAUAAAUAAUUUUUAGUAUUUUAGUAAUAAUGUUUAUGAUUAUAAAUAAUAUAUAUAUAUAUAAAAUUAUAUUAUAUACUAAUAUGCUAAAUAUUUAAAAGCAUUACUAGUAAUUAAAUGAUACUAUAUAUUAAUAUGAUCAUUAUAAAUUUUAUUAUACAUAUAUUUUUUAAUUCUUUUAUUAAGAAGAAUAAAUUUAUAAUGUCAGUUAUACCUUAGGAUUGUUGUAUUUAACAUAUAGAGAUACAAAAGCGAGGAAAAAUGCAAAAGAAACUAUGAUUGAGUUAUUCUAUCAUUUACCGACCAAACAUGAUACAAAAUAUAUUAUCUCAUCUUUUAUCUUAUAUUAUAUUAUAUUCAACAAACUAAACAUAACAUAAUAGACCGACAUUCUAUCAAAUUUCUCGUAUUGUGAUUUUAAAACUUGAAUAGUUCAUGAACUAAACAUUAUUGCCUUUUCUUGUCUCAAUGGAAUAAGCGUUUUAAUUGUUCUAUAUGCAUUUCUUCAUCAAGCUCCCUCUUUUGAGCUAGAAAUAUUAUAUUAGGAGCUAGGUACUCCUUUUUGUAUAGCUCCAUCUCUAAUAAGGUACCAAAGAAGAUAAACUACAAAGGCAAAGAAAAUCUAAUUCCAGAAACUUCUACUUGCAUAAGAUUAGAAAGGCACAUUGUCCUAUUACAGAAUAUGCCCAAUGGCAUAGACAAGGAAAUAACCCACUAUUUUCCACACAACAUAUAUUAAGACAGCUGCACAUGUUUGCUUGUUUAGAUAGUGCAGCAUGACAGUGAAAACUACCAGGACCGAAGUCUACCUCUCAAACAAGCUGGUUGAGCAACUCAUCCACAGUUGUGUAUUUGACAUCGGGAUAUAGCUCUGAAGCCUCCACCCCAAAUGAUGGCUCGAUCUCAAAGUUGGUUUGGUCUCCCUUAAUGAAAACAGAGUGAUCGAUUGAUAAUAUUGCAUUGAGUGGAGCAGAGGCUUCUGCAAGAAACAGAGGAAAACCCAUCAAUAUGAAGAUUUUAGCCAUCAGAUCAACUAUAUAAACAGAUUUUGGGGCGAAAAUAGCCUCUAUAACUGAAAAAUUAUCAUAUGUGGAUACCUUCUUUAACUUAUUAUCAAGCUAGGCCUCUUCAUGUCACCUUGGAGUCAUUUAAUUUAAUUUUUUCCUUUUUAAAUGUAAGUUGAAAAUGCAUUUUGAAAAGAGUGUUUGGACACACGAGUCAAAAUAAUUAUCAAAUUGUAAAAAUAACCCUUUUUUCAAUUUUGUUGAGAGAUCCCAGCAGUCAAAAUAAUCAUAUAAUCAAACCCAGUCUUUUUCUUCCCAACCUUUUUUUUUUUGGCCUUAUCUUAAACUUGCUCUAUUUCUUUUUCAUUUAAGACACUCCAGAAAAACUCAAUCUCAUUUCAUAAUGUCCCACUGAAUUUUCUUAUCUCUCAAACAACUUCUCAUUCUCAUUCGUGAUGUUCACCUAAAGUGUUCUAUGAUUAAAUUUUAUUUAUUACGAAUUUAACUAAGGUGAAAUUUUCAUUAAGAUUGGUUAGCUGAAUUGCACUAGUGUUAUGUUUGGUUGUAAAAAACUUAGUUAGAGUUAAAUUUUCAAUCAUAAUAGUAAUAUGAACUCCACUAUGGUUAAGUUUUAUUUACAAAAAACUUAAGUGGGGUUAGAUUUCUAUUUCAUCUACAAAGAACCUGAUUAUGGUAACUUGAACAAUCCUCUGGUUAAGUUUCAUUUAGAAAGAACUUGAUCAGGGUUAAGUUUCCAUUUCACCUAUAAAGAACUUAAGUAAGAUCAAGGUCUUAAUUAAAAUGUUCAUUUGCAUUGAACUACCAAAACAUCGGACUUAGUAAAAACAAAGUUAGAUGAGAGAUCUAGUAAAUGAUAAGUUUCUAUCUGAUCUCGUCGUCAACAUUGUAGAAGUUCAAAUGAAAUUGCAAAAUAACCCUAAUAAAAAAAAAAUUAGAAAAAACCUCUAACCAAAAACAAUGACAAAAAACAAAACUAAAAACAAAGAGAAAGACGAGAUUCGAUCUCAUUUUCGUCACUAUAGAAACUUACAUGAAACUACAAAAAACCUUAGCAAAAAACAACGACGAAAAACAAAGAGAGAUGGAGAUCUGACCUCAUCUUCUAUAUUGUAGAAGUUCAAAUGAAGUUGCAAAACCCCUAACAAAAAACAACUCCUAAAAUUUGAAAUAGAUAAGGCUCUAAUCUUUGUUCAAGGGUUUGAACUUCACCAGAAAAAGAGAUAGAACAUGAACUUAGAGAGAAGGAGAAGGCUAGGUAUAAAAAAAUGGAAGGGGCAUUUUUGGAGGAAAGAAAGAAGAGUAAAAAUGUCCAAAAUUGGUCAUUUCUCAAAGGGAAGUCAUUAUUUCGAUUUUAAAAGCAUUUUAGUCGACUUCAAUCGAGGUCCGGGGCAUGAUCACCAGAUUUUACCAGCAGGUCAGCUAACAUUUUCUAAGUUAAAAACAAUUUAACCAAGAACCAAUUUCAUUUUAACAAUCUAGCAUAAAGAGAAUGUUCUAUUCACAAUCUCUGUUCCAAUUUAAAUUCACUAGGAAAACCAAAACUUGAACACUUCCAAAAAGGAAAAUGUUUCUCACUAACCUUGGAUGUUCUUCAGAACUUGCUCCUCUGGAACGUAUAUCUUCUCAAGGGUUUUUCCAAUCUUCUUCUCCCACAAGGAGACAAUUUCGUUGUAUGAGUAGGUGUUCUGAGGAGGCCUGACGUAAAGGUUUUUGUUCAAGGUUCUAGGAUCAUCCACAGCUUUAAUAGUAUAGGUGCCAAUGUCAUCCUCCUUGUUAAAAACAGCUGGAGAUGCAAAAGUGAAAAUGAGUAAGAUAGAAUAGAAUCACCUUCUUAUUCCUUCAAGCUUAGACUACUCUGUAAUUCCACCUUUUUUCUUUUACAAAACACAAACUUAAAAUUAUUUUCAUAUGAAACCAAGUUAUUGUUUUCAUUUAAUGCUUAUUUUUUCAAAAACUCUCAGUUGGAAAGCAAACCCCAGAGAACUGUUGAUAAAAAAAAGAGGCUUUAGCCCAUCCUGUUCAGUUUAAAACCCAAUAAUAAUUAUUAGUUACUGGAAAUGCAUAAUGGUUCCUUCAGUUCAACCCCUCCAGGUCACCUGGAUCAUGCUAGUUUCCUGGAUUAUGGCUCAACUGCAGUGUCACACCCAAGCAGUUGACCCCAGCUGUCCGGUUUUCAAAUAGCCACAUUUUGGUUUUCAGGAAUACAGACCAUUCUCACCUCAACAACACUGGCAACCCCAUCAAAUUUUCUGCUUGGAGAAGAUAAUAUGCAGCUAGUGGUUGAUGAAUGCACAUUCAAAUAACCCAUUGAUUAGUAUUACCUUUUAAGCCCACUAUCAUCAGAUGUCAUUGAUCAUGGGAGCGAGUGCAUUCUAAGGUCAAAAGAAGAAAAUGAAACAGAAUUUCAGUUGUUUUACGAUUUUCAGAGGUUGCUUACCUUUUGGAUUACCAUCUCCUGGAAUAAUAAUUUUAUCCCUGGGGGGACCAGUGGCUCCAGGCUGUGAUAAUCUAGAAACGAAAAAGGCAGCGGUGGCUUCAAGCUGUGAUAAUCUAGGAAGGAAAAAGCCAGCAAAGAAGUUGGAGGACACGUAGGUGUAGGGAAUCCCUUCAGCCUCAAUAGCGCGGCGGAUUUGAGCCUUUAUCCCAAAUGCUGUUUUUGCAGGGCCAACCGCAUGGAUACGGUCCACAUCAUUUCCAAACUCUGAUGGGAAGAAUCUCUGGAGGAAAUAAAGCACUUUGAGAAGAAGUCAUAUGACUUGAUAGAUGAAAAACCACUCAUAUCUAUUUAGUCAUAAUAGCUCACAGACAGGGAUCAUCCAUGGGAUACACUAUGAUGAACUUGAUACAAGUGUUCAGCAAGAAUAAAGUUACACUUAGCAAUUCAAAUGAUGGAAGGAAGAAGUGCACCGAUCAGGAUGCUUAAAAAGUGAGAGAAAAAACUAAAUGGAGAAGGUGAAGAAAAAAGCUACCAAACUUCAUUCAUGAAAGGAAAAAGUGCACCAAUCAGGAUGCUUAAAAAGUGGAAGAAAAAACUAAAAGAAAAAAGGUAAAAAAAAAAAAAAAAAAAACCCACCAAACCUCAUUCUGUCCUGAAUCACUUCAGUUUUAAUUUUUAAUUUUUAAUUAUUUAAUUAGUGCUCAAAACAUUUGACACUAUUAAAUUAGUCAUUUGACAUAAUGUAUAUGAUGUUAUCCAAUACCCUAUGUUUGUUGCAUAAGUAUAGUCUCCUUACACAUGGGUUCAAUAAAUUGAGAAAAUGAAUAAACGGUGAAGUUUGAACAAAUGAUUUCCAACCAAAAAAAGGAUCUUAUGCCAUGUUGGACAACCGAUUUACCUAAAACUUAAGUUGUUAGGAUUUAAGCCCACGGUGUAUAUCAUGUUGCCCAUCAGUAUCUAUAUCCAACGAAAGGUCAAGAACCUCCUUGAAACGAUCCUAUUCUAACUUGCCCCUAGCUGCCAAACCCUCAAGGGCAUUAGCCUAAGGGCACAAAGUCAAUAUAGCUCAAGAACCUUCCUGAGAUGUUCCUAUUCCAGCUGACCCUAGCGGCUAGAUCUUCAAGGGCAUUAGCCUAAGGGUGCAAAGUAAAAACCAAGUUUGAGAACCUCCUUGAAAGGACCCGAUUAUAAUUGGUCCCUGGCAGCUAGGCCUUCAGGGACAGAGCAUAUGAGUGUAAAGCCAUUCCAGGACAAGAACCUCCUUAGAAGGACCCCAUCACAAUAGACCCCUAUUGGAGCCUAAGAACAAAAAAUGAAUAAUCAUAUGAAGAAAUAAUAAAACAAAGCAUAAAAGAUAGAAGAGAAGAUAAAAAUAACAAUAUCCUAUGCCACCUCAUUGUCCCCUCCUUCCUUGGAUGAUGCCUCGCUUUUAUCAUUGUCCUCCUCAUCGAUUUCCCCCAAGGCCUUCAUUCGACCCAUGAGCUUGUCGACUUUCAAAAAAUGCUCUUGCAUUAUUGAACCUUAUGAAUAAAAUUAUCUUUUACCACUGUCCACAAAUGAUUUUUUUUUUAAAAGAAUGGCUUUGUCUUAGAGUUCUAUCCUUUUCUUUCUGUUUCUCAUGGAUAAAAAAAACCCCAACCCAAAUAUUUUUUUAUAACAAGGAUAAUUUUUUAUACCUAAAGAAUUAAAAUCGACUUUCAAACACCUAAGCGUUGAGACUCAACUCAAUCCAACCUCAGUCAAUUAACAUGGAUCCAGCAAGAAAAGAUUGUUCAUCCUCAAUGAAUAUUGUGAAGAUGGAAUGUUCUUCCAUGCCUUUUCAACACUCUCAACAUUUCUAAAGAUGGUAUUACUACAUCAUGCGCAAAGGAUAAAGGAAUUACCGACAAAUUAUUACAAAUUCCAAUAAUAAAAAUCAUAGGAACUUGUAUUUGCAAAGAAGAGAUGGAAAUAGAAAGAAGAAAAGGAGAGGAAGAGAUUUCGUCAAUUUGGACGACUUUACCUUGACAUUUCCAGCUUCUUUGAUGGCGGCAAUGAUCUUGACUUGAUCCGAGAACUGUGCGCGACCAACGGUCGAGAUGACCACAUCCACUUGCUUAAUCGCCUUCACCAAACUCUCGUGAUCGUGUAGAUCUCCCUGCAACAUAACAGAACCAAUCAAAAAACUAUUUCAAAGCUGUAAUUCUUCAAUAAGAAGUAAGAAUUCAAAAAUUGGUGUGUGUUUCCACUUUGCUGGAACCAAAGCAAAUCAAAACAUAAACAUCCAAAAUUUUCUUUUCUUUUCCUGCGAAACACUACUUUUUCUUUCUUUCUGGAUGAGUGAAGAGUCUCAGUUUUCUUUUUCUUAGGAACUUAAACUUCCAACUCCAAUGAACUUCGUUCAUUUUCUCCGCGGCCAAAAGAAACAAAAACUAGAAAAGAAAAAAUGGCGAGAAAUGAGAGCGAACAGUACGUACAUAUACCAAAGUCACGCCGGAACUCUUGAAACUCUCAAUGAUUUCCGACAUGGAAGGAUUCGAAACGGUGGAUUCUCUGACGAGAGCGAAGGUAGGGUGACCGGACCUAGCGCUGGCAGCGACGAUGAAUUUUCCGAUGUAUCCAGUGCCGCCGAUGAUGAGAAUCUUGCUCUUUUCGGACAUUGUGAGUUUUUCCGACCAAUCUCCGGCAAGAAAUGUGGAAUUGGAAAAGGCUAGCAAGCAGUAAGCAAUGACGACUGACGAGUAGUGCAGUACUGCAGUGUUCUUAUAUAACAAAGCUUGAGGCUAUAUAGAUUAUGUAAUUACGAAACUAGCCUUUUCUUUCAGCAGUAAUUCCCGCUUUGGUCAUCAUAUGUAUGUGGCUCGAUCUUUGUAUGAUUCACGUGUCCCGAUUCAUAUUUGUUUGAAAAUCGGCUUAGAUUAGUCCAAUUUACAAGACUACACCAUCUUUAAUUUGACAAGAGCAUAUAAUAUAUAUAUAUAUUGUAGCAAUCAUUAAUAUUUUAUUUUAUUUUUGGCACGUGUAAUUUUAUCUCUAGCUCCCAUAUCUUAUUUUAUUGCACACUUUUGACUCCGUUUGGCCAUAUUGAUAUAUAUCAUAGAUUUGCCUUAGAUUUUGGUUAAUAAAAUUUUAAUCAUUAUUGCACGUUUUUAUUCUCCACCCAUGUUUAAUAGUAUAUUUUAGAGACUUAUCGUGGAUAACCACCCCUUCACCUCUCCUACUGAAUUGUCAUUUGAUAUUGCUUGGGGAUCCCACAGAGUUGUCUAGUUGAUAGGUUGAUAAAAUUUACAUGCACGGUCAUUUUCAUGUCCUUAAAGCAAAUACAAAUUAAAAUGUGAUCGAUUGAUGCUAAGAUUUGAAUUUAUCUAUUUAAUAUAAAAUUGUCAUGGUCAAAUGUUUAUUGCUACUCCACGAUAGAAUGAUGAUUUUUAUUUUUGUGACAGUAACAUUUCAAAUUAUAAAAAACAAUGAAUUAAACAAUAUUUUUAUAUUCUUUACAAAAUCUUGGAUGUUUAAAAUUAGACCCUUUAAAUAGACACGUGACUUAAAUGGAAUACCAUAUUUGGGAAUGCACUACACUUAACUUGGAUUGGAAUAUAAUUCAAAAUGGAUAACAAUUAGGAAUGCACCAUGCUUAUUUGGAAUUAAGGGAGAGAGGGAUGACUGUUGGAAUCAUGAAAUGUUAUGGAACGGACCCCUUUUUAAAGAUGUAGAUGUCCCUUAAAGAAACGCUUCCAUCAAAAGAGUUGCACCUAACUAAUAAGAGAUGGGAAUGACUUCCAAAAAAUGUAUCACUUCAUGUUGGUGGCCUUUUUAUUAAACCUAGAAGCAUGUGGGGUUAGGCUCACACAUAUCUGGUGUGGCUUGUGCACAUGUGAGCCUAUGUUAGGCCCAAGUCCACAUUCAUCUAGUUGGAUAUAUGCAUAUGUGAGUUUAUGUAAAAACCCAUGUUUUCUUUUAAGCUUACAAAAUACUUGUAAAGUACCUUUUCGACUAGUGAUCUUCUAAGAAACGCUUCCAUCAAAAGAGUUGCACCUAUCUAAUAAGAAAUGGAAAAGGCGUCUAAAGAAGAUCUCACUUUAUGUUGUUGGUGACCUUUUUUCAAUGUUUUUAAAAUUGGACCGAUUAUUAAAUAUAAAAAAAUUACUCAUUCACGGUUCAUUAAUCGGACUGACAGUUGAACCAGUAACGUCAUAAAUAUAUAAUUUAUAAAUUAUUAAAAUAAAAAUAAAAAUGUAUGUAUUGUUUAAAAAUUAAAAUUUUAUUUGAAAAUCAGAAAAUUAGUUUUAAAAUUAAAAUUAAAAUUAAAAUCAUGGGGGGGAGGGGGAGGGGAGGGGGUUCGUUCUGCCAGUGAGAGAGCGACGUCCGACCAAUCAGCAAUUGACGAUAGUGGGAAGAAGCAGCUAGGGUAGUAGGGUAAGAGGGGUUAUUGGAAAAAAUAAUAAUAAUAAAAGAAAGGUUGAACGGUUCAAUGGUCAAAUCGUCGGUUCAAUCGGUCUAAUUCUGGUUUGACUACUUUUCGACCUAAUUCAUCAAACCAAACCGAAAUUGUGACUUGCUGGUUCGAUCCAAUUUUUAAAACCGUGUAUUUUUAUUAAACCUAAAAGGUGGGUGUAGGAUCACACCUAUCCAAUGUGGCUUGUGCACACGUGAGCCUAUGUUACGCCCAUGUACACAUUCAUCCAAUUAGGUCCAUGCAUAUGUGAGUUGAGGUUAAAAACCAUGUUUUCUUUUUACCUUACAAAAUACUUAUAAAGUACUUUUUCUGACUACUAAUCUUCUAAUGUGGGAUUGCUUUUUUCCACCACAUUCCACAUGAAUGCAUAGGUAACUUUGAGCUCAAUUUGUCAUUAACCCAUAAAUGGUUUUGAGUAUGUAAAUUUCUUAUCCACCAAUACCUACUCGUGCAGACGUUAUUGGUUAUCAUUUGGAGAAAGGUGUCCAACCUAUUGAUUGUUGUAAUUUAGAUUGUCCCAAUUCUAAUAGUUGUGGUUUUAAGGCCUAGAAUUGUUUCGUUGAUUCUCAUCUUAACCCUUCUCUUUAUUCAAUGACUUCCCUUGAAAGUAUUAUUUGAUGAUCUCCUAUCAGGGGGUUGGUCUCUUUCUUAUCUUCUCUUCUUUUUAAAUAGUCCAUUACCUUAUCAUGCAAUUCUUUAAAUGAGAUAGCAGUAUCACAAGCUCUCACAACAACAGUGGUCUCUUUGUAUUUUGAACCUAAUUCAUUGAGAGUGUAAACCACCAGAUCAUCAUUGUGCAAGAGUGAACUAAUAAUAGUAAGUUCAUCAACAAUACUUUCGAAGAUUUGGAUGUAUUCACUAAUAGUUUUUUGUUCUUUGAUCGUUUUUAUAGCCUUUCCCAUGAGGUUAGGAUGCAUGACCUUGAGUAAUUGGCAUUAAGUUUUUUUGGGUGAGACCAUGACUCUAAUGCCUUAGUAGCACAAACCACAAAACAAAAAUAGACUCCAAACUACAAUCUAACAUGAGAUGAAAUAACAAAUUAUUUUAAGGUUAAUUUUGUUGACUUUCCAUGAGGUUUUGACUAAAUAUAUUUAGUUCAUAUUAGUUUGAAAUUUCAUCAAAUACCUCCUCUACCCUUCUCACAAAUUAUUUCACUUACCUGUCUUCUAACUCAAAAUAAAGGAAGUAUUUGACGAUAUUUUAAAUUUAUAAAAACUAGGUAUAUUUAACCAAAACUUGAGGGAAAGUAAGUGAAAUUAACCUAAUUAUCUUACUUUUAAUAUAGCCAAUAUUCCAUAUCUCGUAUUGGUACUUUCCUUCUCCUUUCAAAUUGUUGUAGAAGGGCAAAGAUAUGACCGUUGUUACAUGUGCUAAAUCAUAGUAGUAUAUAAAGAAGCAUGCGGAACUAAACUCUUCACAAUGGAAAGUUUUUAAUCGUAGUUACAUCACUACAUCAAUCAACUCUGUGGUGCUAAUUUGGUAAAAUGUCAAAAGACUUUGACCCAUUAAAGGUAAAAAAGAAUAAAAAUAAAAAUUUGUUGUAGCAAUGGAUACUCUAAAACCAUAAAUACAAAGAAUUUAUAUAACCUAUCACUCGUAUUAUUUUACAUUGUAUAAGUUUACAAUAGAAAUGAUCGACUAAAUAUACAUUGGUAAUAUUAUAGCUUAGGGUCAAAUGUCAUGCGUUAUGAAUGUAAAGAAAAAUUGAACUUGAUGAUUUGGUUGAGCCUUUAUUUGCCAUUAAUAUAUGCCUUUAUGGACUGUCCACUGUAAAUUCCUUUCACUCCUCUCAUUGAAGAAUGAAACUCCACACUUUAUUCAAGUUUAAAAUGUUUUCUUGCAUAUUAAGGAGGAAAUUAAAAAAUAAAUAAAUAAAUAAAGGAAAGGAAAAUGAUCCGUUAAAAAACUAUAUUAUGAAUGUUAGAUAUCUUAAAAAACAAAAAAAUAUAUAUUUGUAGACCCCAUUUUGGGGAGCUGUCAUUUUUCUCACGUUUCCUUUCUUGCAGCUAGCUGUGGCCAAGUGUCACCAUCUUGCAUGGCCACGUGUCACUCCCGGAUUAGUCAAUAUGGGAUCAAAAUAGUGGAAUUGAUGGACCCAUCAGAGGAAGACACCUGGAAAGUGAAGAACAUUCUGGAAUCAGGGGAGCGUAUCUUCUGUUAUGGGAAGGUUGCCAGCUGCAGGAGUAGAGGAGUGGAGGCUGGUUGCUGCAGAGAGAGUGGAGGCUGGCAGAGGAGUGGAGGAGAGGUUUUGCUUUUGAAAAGGCCGUUAGAGAUAUUUUUAGGAUGAGGCAGCGGCAUUGAAGGGGAGAGUUUGGAGAGAUUCUUGAGGAGCAAGCUAGAUAUUGAAAAGAGAGAACGAGACAGAGAGAGCUGCAUUGAGAGGGAGGGAUUUCUUUUAAGCUGAGGCUGGUUGCUGCAGAGAGAGUGGAGGCUGGCAGAGGAGUUUUGGAGAGAAAGAGAAGGGUUUUUGGAGAGAAAGAGAAGGGGUUUUGGAGAGAAAGAGAAGGGUUUUUGGAGAGAAAGAGAAGGAGUUUUGGAGGGAACAGAGAGCUAGAGGGGGAGGAAAAACACUAGGAAGAAAAACAGAGAAAUCAGAAGAGACGGUUUUGGGUAGAGGAGGUUAUCAAGAACCAGAAGAAAAGGGCCUCCAGGUUCUUUUUGAGGGGUAAGUUUUCCACUGUGUUCUUGUUCUUUCUUUUUCUCUUCAUAUAUUGUUGUUGAGAUGCAUUGUUGUUGAUCUUUGGAUGGGUUAUACUCUGUUCUUCAUGGUUGACUGCUCCCCUUUUGCUUCUGUUUAUGGCUGAAAAUUGAUUUAAAUCCAUUUUUACCUUCUUUGUGGCAUUUUAAAGAAAGAAAAAGACCUUUUAAUUCACCCAUCUGCAAACCCACUAAUGAAGAGGUGAAGCAUAGUUCUUCAUGCUUCAUCUCAUUUUUCUUCCUCCAUGGCUCUGUUUUUGCUACUUUUCUCUCUGCUCUUCGUGUUUGGACUUUCUUGGAUAUGAAGCCGUAAUGGGGAGUGAGGCUAUGGGAUGACGAGACAGUGAGGGAUUUGGACUCCUUGAAUCCGUUUAUCCUGUAAAGGCUACUAAGGGCUUGGUAGAUCAAUGUUUGAGCAUAUGAACAGAGAGUGGUCUACACCGGGGAUACCAUUAUUGCCAGUGAUCCGUGUGGCAGAGGUUAGUGGGCUGUAGAGAGGGGAUCCUUUCUGACGGAGCAAAGGAACAAGAGAUGAAUUCAUGGGUUUUCUGAAUUGUUUUCACUAAGAAGGAGUUCACCCAGUACUCUUAGGCCUAAGAAGCUCGGCAUUUCUUUGCAAACAUAAGAAGCACAGGCUGGAACUAUGGAGGCCAUAGGUUUUACAUGGUAAAAAAGUGGGUUGACUGAGGAAUUGAGAAAGAAAUAAAGCAAGCAAAGCCGUCAUCGAAUGACGCCGGCGGCGAAGCGCCUCCACUUUGACUACGUCGUGCCCUCAGUUAUCGACUCUAACCACCGCUUCUCUAGUCUACGCGUGUCGCCGGAAGACUUGACGCUGAUCGUUUCUCUGCCUCUCUUUAUUUUCGGCUCUGUCAGGGGUCGAAACUCAUCCUCCGCUGGCGAUUGCGACGAGUGUCUCUCCUAGCUUAAGCCUCACGAUCAGCUUCGGCUGUUCCUGAUCUGCCGUCACGCUUCCCAUGCUCUAUACAUCAACACGCUGCUGGCAUCCAGUCAGGCAUGUCCUUGUAUCGUGUUCCGCAGGGAAUUCUGGGCCUGAUCUGCUCACUGUGGUGAGUGUCGCGCCAUGGAUUUUAACUGAUGGUGUCCCGACGAUUGACAAGAAGUUUUCCGGUGGAUGUGGUUCUUGGCGACGGAAGAAUCUUCGGUGGUGUGUCUAUGUACUUCGGCGAUCCUCUAAAGGACACUAAUCUCCCCAUUAGUUUACGCUGGUGACUGUGGAAGCAGAUUCCGCUUCAUCGGAAAACCCAAUCCUUCUCAAGUGCCUGGAAAAGCAGUCAUUUGUGAUCGGAACUUCACCUCGGCGCCCAAAGUCGCAGCGUUCUCCAACUGGUUUAGACAUCGACGAGAGACAAGUUGAUUUUAAUAUAAUUUCUGGCACGUCCAUUGCAUGUCCGUACGUGAGUGGAAAUAGCGACUGUGGCAGUGUACCCAAACGGCUUCACCACUCUCAAGCAUGAUGCUCUGAGAGUUGAAUUGAAAUGGAGGGGCGUUCUCAUAUUGCAAUUGUUGUUCCUAGAACUGAUGAGUCAAUCAGUAAAUUGGUUCAGCAACCUCAGAAGUUAAUAGAUCUCCGUGAGGUUCGCGAUAUUACUCAUAUGCCAUUUGCAGAAAGAGAUGACUGAAGGGAAACGGGUUCCUCUGAAUAUUACUAAAUUUGAUUAUGAAUGUUUGAGAAAGACCGCUGACAGUCAAGCAUAUUAAGGGGAUCCAUAUAAAGAAUUGUGGGUGUCCUUUGUUGACCGAGUUGGUCUUAGUCACAGAUAUCCUCAUCCAUGGCUGCUGAUAUAUCUCCUAAUUCUUCUUGAUGCUGCGGAAGAUAUUGUUGAAAUAGGAAAAACUGGGUGGAGAGAUCAAUUGUUACUCUGAUUUGAUUUUGGAUUGAAAAGGGAUGGGUUCAUUCAUGGAGCAUGUUCUGCCAGGAACGCUGUUUCUAGCAGUGAGUUUGUGGCACAUAUGCAGCGCAGUGGUGAGAUUUGUGAUGAACCCAAAGGGGUUUCAGGUUCGGGUUUUGAACCCAGUGUCUGGUUUUGAUGGAAGGCUUAGAUACUUGGAGCUUUAUGUGGUGGCAAUCGGAGCUUUUAUUGAUAUGUGCAUAGAGUUUUUGUAUUCAACUCAUCUCAAGUUCUUUGUGAAUGGGGUCUUGAACCCAUCUCACACGAAUGACUUUGAGCACUCUGGGAUGCUUCUCAUGUUCUUUAUUUUCGGGGUCGUCGCCUUGUUCUCCCAGCAAACCGGGCUUGUUCAAAACUGAAUAACCAAUGCUCAAUAGCCUUCACAUAGCUCCAUUCUGCCCUCACAUACUUCCAGCGCGUGACUUGUUUGAAUGAGAGCGACUUUUAUUGCCAAACAGUUACUUGGGGAACCGGUGACGUUACUCCUAUUGCAGGAUUGCUUGGCAAAUCUCAAUUCCAGAUUCACUUAGGAGGGAUCCUUGGCUGCUAAUUGGAAGGCUUCAAGACAGAAGGAAGCGAAGAGUGAUGAUACCAGGGAAGUGACUCAAUUAUCUACUCUACACUUGCCCGCUCAUGGCCCCAAAAUCUCAGAAGUGGUCAAGAAGUUGGAAGACUGCAUGUUCUGAAAUUGACCUAGCCUUUCAAAUCGGGUUCCCUACAUUGAAAUAAGAAGCAGUAGCAUGAGUUAUCCUCCAGAAUGGCUCUAUUCUCUGCAUGGUGCAUGGCCACCUUUGGGCCACAGUGCCAUUUCCCAUUUCACCAUCUCUAAUUUUGAAAAAUAUUCUUUUAAAUCCCAUUCUUCAAAUAAUUUUCUAGAUUUUAGUUUGUUUUAAAAUAAUUUCAAACUCGUCCACUUUUCAUCUUUAGUUUCUUUUUCUUAGAUUCCAAAAAUCCAUUUUUCCAAUAAAAUUUUGCUACCACUUUUCUUCCUAGCAAGCCAUUUUCAUAUCUCUUCUGUUUUUUUUAAAUUGUUUUGAAAUAAGCAAGAAUUAAUUCCGUAAUUCCGAAUAAUGGAAUUUAUGGAAUUAAUUCAUGCUAAGAUAAAUGGGCUUUGGUGGGGGCCCAACAUAUGAGAUUUUAUGAUUGAUUGACUGAUUGAUUGAUUCAUUAGCUAUAUGUGAUUGAUUUAUUCUGUUCCUUGGUAUACACAUUAUCCUUCUGUGUUUGUUCACUAACCCUGUUUCUGAUAGCACGUUACGGCUCGUGGCCCCGGUACGCACUCUCUAUACCUAUUCUGUUUCUCAUAUGUGCAUAAUUGAUUCGAGUAUUCAUUGCUUUCCUCAUCAAUUGCCACAUCAGCUUCAUUUUAUUAGUAGAGACCCGAUUUUAGGGACUUAGAGGGGUGCUAUGGUCUUUACCGUACCUUCCCGAUAAGUAACCUGACCCCCGAACCCGAUCCGGUUUUUCGUAGAUCACCUUUUCCAAAUAAGGAGUCACACUUAGGGUUUUUCUUUCUUAUUUUGUUUACCCUUUUAAAAAUAAAACAAAAAUACAGCUAAAAUCGAGCUCGCCAUUGAGUGGGAAACGCAUUGAGAUAGAUCGAAAUGCGGGGUCCACAACGCGUUCUUUUAUUCUCUUUAGUUUUAUAAAAAAGAUGGUAAAAAUGUAGUGAUCUUCUUUUAGUUUCUGUUUUAUAAGUGAGAGGGGACUAAGAUAGUAUUUAUUUUUUGACUGAAUAUAAAAAAUCAAAAUAUAUACAAAUUUACUUUAAUUAUAUUGGACGAUGUUAAUAGGUUACUUUUAGCUAAAUAAAAAAAAAAUCAAAACCUUAGAAAAAUAUUUUAAGUUUUAUUUACUCAAAUCAAUGUUUCCAAAAAUAUCCUUAUUGUCAAAACUGACUUAAAUGAAAAAUAAAUAAAAAAAUAUAAGCAAAAAACAAUUUAAUAGUUUUUAAAAAUAUUAUUAAAUCAUCAUUUGGUUCCCUUUUAUUCUGUCACUUUAAUUCUUUAAAACUAAAUUUAAUUCUUUUAUAACAAUAGAACAUAGGGGCCUAAGGUUGGAAAAUGACAAUUUACCCUAUUUGAAAAAAGAAAAAUUAUAUAUUCAUUUCUAGCCAAAAACAACUUUAUAUGUAAUUGUCAUUUUUUAUCAACCCCCACCGCUGAUGCAAAAGCCUUAACCUUGAAUGGAAUUUUAAUUUCAAAGACAUUUAGCACAUAGGAUAAAAAUUGUGCAUUUCAAUGAUCAAAGCUUCAUAUCUUAAAAGGUAGGUAAAUUUUAAAAUUCAACUAAGUUAUGUCUUCAAAAGACAAUAUUUAAUUGGAUUCUUUCGAGGUGUCAUAGAAUUAGAAAUAUUUUUUGAAUUAUUAUAUUUUAAAAAAUAUAUUUUUUUAAAUUGCCUUACUUUGUUCAAAAUGCCAAGAAGCAGGCAUAGGAACUAUAACAAAGCUCCAUCUCUAUUAGGGUACCAGAGAGGAUGAAUUGAAAAGGCUAGGAAAAUCUAAUUCCAGAAACUUCUACUUGCAUAAGAUACAGAGUGACUACAGAAUAUGCUCAAUGGCAUAGACAAGGAGGCCACACAUGCUUGCUUAUUUAGAUGGUGCAACAUGACAAUGAAAACUAGCAGGACCAGAAAUUACCUCUCACACAAACUGGUCAAGGUACUCAUCCACAGUUGUGUAUUUGACAUCGGGAUAUAGCUCUGAAGCCUCCACUCCAAAUGAUGGCUUGAUCUCAAAGUUGGUGUGGUCUCCCUUAAUGAAAACAGAGUGACUGAUAGAUAAUAUCACAUUGAGUGGAAAAGAGGCUUCUGCAAGAAACACAGGAAAAGCCAUUAAUUUGAAGAUAUUUGUCAUCAUUAAGAUUAUGUUUGGUUUCCAAAAAAUUUGAGGGAAAAUGCAAGAAAAGAAAAUAGAGAGGAAAAGUGGAAAGAAAAAAAAAGAAAAAAAAUAAAAAAAAUGGAUUCAAAAUCAAUAAAUUAUUUUUAAAUGCUAUUUCAAACUCAUUUCACCCAUUUCCCCCUAUUAUAUAAAGAUUAAACAAUUUUAAAAUGUAUAAAUUUUUAAUUAAUUUUAAUUAUAAUUUAUUUUCUUUCAUAUUUUCUAUAAUGAAACCAAGCAUGAGAAAACUAUUUUCUUUAAUAUUUUUUUUAUUUCCUUAAUACUUUCCGAGAGCCAAACAUAGUCUAAAAGAUCAACUAUAUAAACAGGGGCCAAAAAAUGGCCUCAAUGGUAAAAAAAUUAUCCUAUGUAGGAACCUUCCCAAACUUAUUUUUCAAACUAGAACUCUUGAUGCCAUCUACGCCCCAUUUUUAUUUUAUUUUUUUCCUUUUUAGUCAUAAGUUGAAAAUGCAUUUCUGAUUUUAUAAAGAAGUCAAAUUUUGAGCAAUGGUUUGAAACAUGACCCAAACUCAAUAUUAUUUGACCAAAACAGGCCUUUUUUUUAUCCAAAAUUCAUAUAAACACGUAAUGCUUGCAAGUUCAACCAACUCCUCUUUCUUUCUUUUCUUUUAUUCCCUUCAUUUUUCAAAUCCAUUGAGCAACUGCAAAUUGUUAGUCUGUCAUAUGAAUCUCUAAGGAAGACCCUAAUUGAGGUCUGGGGCACGAUCAAAUGAUUUUACCAGCAGGCCACCUAAUAUUUUCUAAGUUAAAACAAUUGAAUCAAGAACCAAUUUCAUUUUAACAAGGUAGCAUAACGAGAAUGUUUCAUUCCCAAUCUCUAUUCCAAUUUAAAUUAACUAGGAAAACCAAAGUAUGAACACUUUUAAAAAAAGAAAAUAUUUCUCACUAACCUUGGAUGUUCUUCAGAACUUGCUCCUCUGGAACAUAAAUCUUCUCAAGGGUUUUUCCAAUCUUCUUUUCCCAUAAGGAGAGAAUUUCGUUGAAUGAGUAGGUGUUCUGAGGAGGCCUGAUGUAAAGGAUUUUGUUCAAGGCUCUAGGAUCAUCCGCAGCUUUAAUAGUAUAGGUGCCAAUGUCAUCCUCCUUGUUAAAAACAGCUGGAGAUGCAAAAAUGAAAUGAGUAAAAUAAAGUAGAAUCAUCUUCUCAUUCCUUCAAGCUUGGACUACUUGGAAAUUCCACUUUUUUUGUUUGAAGAACACAAACUUGAAAUUAUUUUGAUGUGAAACCAAGUUAUUCUUUUUCAUUUAAUGCUUAUGUCAAAAACUCUCAGCUGGAAAGCAACCCAAGAGGACUGUCAAUAUAAAAAAGAGGCUUUAGCCCAUCCAGUUCAGUUUAAAAUCAAAUAAUAAUGAUUAAUUACUAAAAAUGCAUAAUGGUCCCUUCAGUUCAACCACUCCAGGCCACAUGGAUCAUGCUAGUUUCCUGGAUUAUGGCUCACUUGUAAUGUAGCACCCAAGCAGUUGACCUCAACUGUUGGAAGGUUUUGUUUCUGGGUGAACAGGUUUAACCAGCUGGGGAAGGGGGGAGUGGAGAGGGGUUGUCCAGGUUUCAAAUAGCCACAUUCUGAUUUUCAGGAAUACGGACCAUUCUCACCUCAACAACACUGGCAAACCCAUCAAUUUUUCUGCCUGGAGAAGAUAAUAUGCAGCUAUUGGUUGGUGAAAUGGUAAAUUAACACUCUCAAAAGGAUCCCAUGCUCAUUUACAUAACCCACUGAUUAGUAUUACUUUUUAAGCCCACUAUCAUCAGAUGUCACUGAUUAUAUGAGCCAGUGCAUUCUAACAUCAAAAGGAGAAAAUGCAAUGGGAAAUUCAGUUGUUGGAUGAUUUUCAGAGGUUGCUUACCUUUUGGAUUCCCAUCUCCCAAAAUAAUAACUUUAUCCCUGGGGGGAGCGGUGGCUCCAGGCUGUGAUAAUGUAGGAAGGAAAAAGCCAGCAAAGAAGUUGGAGGACACAUAGGUGUAGGGAAUUCCUUCAGCCUCAAUAGUUCGGCGGAUUUGAGCCUUUAUCUCAAAUGCUGUUUUUGCUGGCCCAACCGCAUGGACACGGUCCACAUCAUUUCCAAACUCUGAUGGGAAGAAUCUCUGGAUGAAAUAAAACACUUUAAGAAGUAGCUGUAUAACUCAAUAGAUUGAAAAACCAGUCAUAUCUAUUUAGUCAUAUUAGCUCACAAACAGGGAUCCCAUAUGGGAUACAAGUGUUCAAAUAAAGACAUAAAAUUAGCAAUUCAUAUUAUGGAAGGAAAAAGUGCACUGAUCAGGAUGCUUAAAAAGUGAAAGAAAAAAC
Molecule: long non-coding RNA, 54991 nt
Filed under: Vitis vinifera (wine grape)
Lineage: Eukaryota; Viridiplantae; Streptophyta; Magnoliopsida; Vitales; Vitaceae
Description: long non-coding RNA (VVIN_LNC000658)
Source: RNAcentral